RNAcentral lists this long non-coding RNA (57830 nucleotides) under Daucus carota (carrot). RNAcentral describes it as "long non-coding RNA (DCAR_LNC006323)". The record is from RNAcentral. Lineage: Eukaryota; Viridiplantae; Streptophyta; Magnoliopsida; Apiales; Apiaceae.
AUUUCUGGAUGACGUGGCGAACGACGUUGGGAGAGAGAGAGGUGGGAGAGAUUUGGGAGAGAUCGAAGGAGAGAGUGGGGAGAGAGAGAUUGGAGGUGGGGUUGGGGUUGUUGCGGUGGUGGGUUUUGAUUAGGGAGUGGAGUUGGUCUGAAAUUAGGGUUUCGGAUGGGGAGAGAUGGAGGAUGGGUUUGAUUAAUUCGGGUUCUUCGAGAGUUUGUAGGGCUGGAGAGGUGAGUGUUGAGAGAGGAGAGAUGAGGUGGGAGGUGAGACGUAGGCAUUGCUUUGACUUGAUUAUCAUGGCCGCCAUGGCAGUAGGGGGAGGAAGCUAGCAACCAAAAUGGAUACCAAAAAUAGUGUUAGGAUUGGUGCAGGGUUUAUGGUAUAAAACUUUUUUAAUAUUUUUUUUUGUCACGAGGAACAUAAUUCAUUAAAAAAGAAUUGAAGAUACAAAUAUCUCCUUCCUUGGAAAAAGUAUAUAAUUCAAAAUCAAAAUAAGUAAGUACUUUCGAAUAUUAGAUAAUAUCAUAUUUAACGUCUGAAAUGAUUAUAACCUAAAAAAGAUCACAUUAAAAUUUCGCAGGAGUAAAAUUUUAAAAGAAAAGAACUUAAAGAAUAAAAAAGAAUGUCUAAAAAAAUGAAUACAUCGUUUAUAAAUAGUCUAAAGACAAAAGGGGAAAAAUAGCCGGUUUGAUUCGUGAACUGCUACUGAUUUUGAAAAGAAGAAUCGAUUUAGCGUCUUAUGAGAUUAUGGGAUUAAAGAGUGUAUUAGAUUAAGACUUUGAAAGAUUUUUAUUCAUUUAUGAAAUCAGAAAAUAUUCAAUUUAGAUUUUAUAAAAUGUAUCAAAUUGGUGGGAUAUUCAAUUAAGAUUUAAAUUAUACACAACUUUUGGUGAAUUCAAUUAGAAUUUCAGAGUAUAUUUACAAAUUUGAUAACAUUCGAUUGAUAUUUUUUAUCCACUAAAAUUUGAUGAUAUUUAAAUGUUAAUGAAUUUUUUUGGAAUUCUUAAAAUGAUGGAAUUUUCACUUGACCCACUCAUCUCAUCGAGGACUCAUUUAGUCAUUAUAAAUAAAAUAUAUAUCAUUUUACCCACAUCAUUAGUCAUACAUCUUAAUUAUUUAUCAAAAAAUAAUCGUUUGGUUUUUACUGCAAAACCGCUUCGAAUAUUUUCAUAAUUGUCUCUAGUAUUUAUCAAAAUAAUUUGAGAAUUUAUAAAGAAACCUAGUUAUGUAUUUAAAAAUAUAUAUAGCUAUAAAUAUAUAUUUAUGUGAUCAUCCUAGCUAUGUUCUAUUAUAAAUUUCCCAAUUAUUUUGAUAAAUAUUAGAGACAAUUAUGAAAGUACUCGAAAUGAUUUUGUAGUAAAAAAACAAACCAUUGAUUUUUGAUAAAUGAUUGAGUAAAGAUAUAUGAAUAGUAAUAUAGAUAAAAUGAUAUAUAUUUGAUUUAUAUAGUGGUUUAAAUGGAUAAUAAGAUAUUUUGACCCACAUGCAUGAAAGAUUAUGGAAAAAGUAAUUAUAUUCAUAUUAUAAUUUGGGCCAAAAAUAUUUUACUUUGACCAAUUCUAUGCAGAGUUCGAAGUGAAUUACCACUUCCAAAGUUUUCUGAUUAUUAAUUUCUUUAAAAUCUUUUAAUGUUUUAAUUGAUGAACUCUGUAAAGAGUGUGUAGAUUAAUGGUGCAUGAACAAAGUGUGUAGAUUAAUGGUGCAUGAACACCAGCUCUGUUCCGCAUUGCUCCACCAUCAUGUAAGCUCCAAGCACCAUCACCAAGUAUGCAAUCCUCGCAAUCUUUCCCUUAAAUAGCAGUAAUUAUAGGCCUCUUAAAGUGUGCGAGUAGACAAUUUCUGUACUGGUAAUUUGACGAUAUAUAUGCAGGCAGGUUGGGGAGUACUUUAGAUAUUUAACUAACAGUCGUGACAAUAUCGGACAUGACCCCAAUCCGCAACCCGAUUCACUUAGACAAAAUCCGAAAUUCAUCCGACUGACCCGAAAUUAGAAUUUGAUUCUUACAAAACUUAAAUUUUCAGUUUAAUUCAAUUUCAAGUGAUUUUAGCUUAACCCGAAAUUGACUUGUUUGCCGACAAGAACACUGCCCUGAUGCGGUGAAUGGUGAUGCAUGCCUUACCAUUCUUAUGUCUGAUUGUAUGUAUGGUUACUUGUUAGGCUUCAUCUGAGAAACUACAUAUCUUCUCAAAAGAUGUGACAUGACAUGAGGCUGGCGGUUCCAUCUGGUAUGUUUAUUCCUUCAGUUUUCUGGGAUUCAUCUACUUGCAUAAUUUCUUCUACUUUGCCUAAUUCAUUUAUAGCUCCCAUCAGAAUGUAAAUCAUGAUGAAAACAUAUGGUUUGUUAAAUCAGUUAAACAUGCAUGAAAUAGUAAUUUACUUGUAAUGUGAUAAAGCCACAUUUGAGAUUUGACAUCCUAACUGUUAGUUAAACCUAAUUUCCCAAGUCCAAUUUCCGCCAACUAUCCUAUAAAUACUUGCUUGGUCUACCUGCAAUAUCAUCCUUGACACUUUUAUAUAUCUAGUUAGUAAAAUGGCAAACGUUGCAUACUUAGCAGUGGUAUUGGUGGUGGUGGCGGCUCGUAUGCUGGUGGAGCCGGGUGAAGCUCUAACAUGUGGUGCACCCGAGGAACAGAGGACAGGAGCUGUGUGCAAUGUUUAUACCAGAGGUGAUCAACCAGAGCCAUCUGGUGAGUGCUGCAAUGCGUAUAGAGCACUACAGUAGUCAGGAAGCAACUUCACAAAGCAGAUAUAAUCGUGGUGCUACUGCUAAUCCUGCUGCUCGUAUUCCAAGAUUUGAUUCUCUAUCAGAAAAAUGCGGACUUCCUUUUCUUUUCUCUGCUGAUCCUGAAUUCGAUUGCAAAACGUAAGUGUCUCUGAUCUGAUCAUUUCAUUAGCUUUCCAUUUUAUAGGCUAAGCUUUUUAUCUGUAAAAGCUAGCCACAAUAAUACAGAAGUCAAUAUGCUCUCAUGGAUUUUUAUUUUGCUUUCUUAUGCAGAGAAUAUUGAGGUCACUUUCUUGCAUGGAAAAGCAGUUGGAGGACAAACAAUAAUGCUAUAGCUACUUGUAUUUCUGCGCUAUUCAUUGUAAUAAGUCCCUUUAAGAAAGAGGCCUUUGUUUUUAUACAAAUGACAACUACACUGAGAAGUUUCUGCAGUGUUCUUACAUGCCCUUGUCUGAGAUGAGUAUAUUCAAAUGAAUGAUGUAUAUCAUCCAUAUCAUCUAAUCAGCAUCAACUUUAUGCACUAUAAGUGAUGUAAACUUUUAAACAUCUAGAGAAUCAACAAAAGGGUCAAAACCAAGGCUAGACUAUCUUGAAUGUCAGAUUCAGAAUAUGACAGGCAGGAUACUCUCAACUGCGUCAAUGAAAUUUAUUCUUGAAAAAGAAAUCAGAUUUGGUUUUCAACUGCGAUUGGUCUGAAGGUUCGGUCUAGCAUUAGAUGAUGUCACUCUCAUAAGGUGUUUGAGAUUAGUAAACUCAACUCCUGGGUAAUGAAGCCAAAUGAGAAUCUGGUUUAGCUCCUUAAAUGAUUAGGGAACUGUACAUAGGCCCAAGGUCUCUAAACUCUCUAGAUCCCCAAGAUUUUGUGGUAUAUGUCCCCAGAGUCUAUUAUUGGACACGUUGAGUAGUUUGAGUCUCUUGAGAUCUCCUAGUGACGCUGGAAUAUACCUUGUGUAGUAGCCUUUUUCCAUUUCACCAUCAAGUCAUUGAUCUUGAUCGAAAAGGAGAACAUGCGACUGAAUGAUGUAACUGAGGCCAUAGUUCAUUUAGAUGAGAGAUCUACAUAUUAUCUUCUAGCUCAACACCAGAGUGGAAAUGUUGGACAAGCUUCCAAUCUGACUUGGAAUCUGCAUCUGUAAACGAUUAUUUCUCAAAUCCAAUAUUUCCAAUCACUUCACAACUGAAUCUGGAAUCCAACCCGAAAAUUGAUUAUGGUAGAGAGAAUCUGUACAGGUAUAUUUCCAUCAACAACAUUUUGAUCCAACUUCAAUAUCCUCAAAUCUUCGAGCUUGCCAACUUCACUGCUCAAACCACCCUUUAACAAAUUAUGACUUAAAUCAAGAAACUGCAAGAACAUUAACUGAAAUAGUUGUGUACGAAUUGAGCCAUUAAAUAUGUAGCUUAAGUUCUUAAUCGAACAAAAUUAAACUUAAUAUGCAAUUAUAUUUUUAUCUGUGAGCUUAAAUUUUUGAUGAAAUUAAAUCAUCAUUCAAUUUUGUAAACUUUCCACAAAAUUUUCAAAAUUGUACAUUAAAAAUAUAAUCAAACACCAAUAUACACCUUUUGGAAUUUUCAUAAAAUCUACCUUUCCUAAAUCUCAUAAUAUACACUCGCAUUGAUUAAUCUGAUAAUAUCUACAUUUAUUGAUCUCCACCUAUCCACUCGCAUUGAUUUCCAUACUUUUGGAUAAUUAUGUUUAAAUAUAAAUAAUAUAAAAAUUAUGAUAUAUAAGUUCCUCUAUUAUCUUACGAAAAAAAUUAUAAAAAAUUAAAUAUUUUUUUUUUGAGAAAUCGUAACAUUACUUUAUACUGAGAUAUGAUAUUGAAAGUCAUGUAUGCUUUGCCAAAGUAGCAAAUGCAUGCAACCUUAUGAAACAUAUAAGUUUCAUGGUAUAUGUGGCUUAAAUAACUACUAAUGGUAUCUGUAGCUUAAGUAACUACUAAUGAGAUGGAAGUUUCAUGCAGAGGUAUGUGAAAAAAUUUCUUAAAAUGAUAAUUAUUUUUUAGUAUUAUUACGUGCACAAAAUUGUGUAUAAAAAAAUUGUAUACAAUGACGUGGCAAUUGAUGUGGUGUGUUUUAAUUGGGGUUGUUGAUGUAAAUACAGGGCACAUUCCAAUUAAAACCGACCACAUGUUAUUAUGUACAGAAUUUUGUAUACAAUUAUGGACACCAAGCAUUUUUCAUUAUUUUUUUUUUAUCUCUAAGCCUAAGUUUCUGAUGAAAUUAAAAAAUCAUUCAGUUUUGUAAACUUUUCUGGAAAAUUUUAAAAUUAUACAUUAAAACAUAAUUACACACCAAUAUACAACAUUUGGAAUUUUCAUAAAAUCUAUAUAACUCUGUUUUCUUGUUCUUGUGUUGACUAUACAAACAUUAUACAUCCACUCCAAUUAAUUUCCAACAUGCAGGUGCAUCAUGUACUUUUAGAUAAUUUUGUUUAAAUAUAAAUAAUAUAAAAAAGUACGAUAUAUAAGUUCCUCCAUUAUCUUACGAAAAAAAUUAUAAAAAAUUAAGUCUAACUCCCGCUUUUUGAGAAAUCAUAGCAUUACUUUUUACUGAGAUAUAAUAUUGAAAGUCAUGUAUGCUUUGCCAAAGCAGCAAAUGCAUGCAAAGCGAAAUGUUACUAGAGGUGGCCAUUCGGGCGGGUCGGGGCGGUUCGGGCCGGUUCAGGCGGUUUUCGAACCGUCGCCGGUGAAACCGUAACCGGCACGGCUAUACAAGCGGGCCGGGCCGAGCCGUGCCGGGUUAAGAGAGUGUGGAACCGGAACCGUAUAAUACGGGUUAGGUGGGUUGUACGGGUUGGCGGUUUUGGACCGGCCGACGGUUCAACCGACGGUUCAACGUGAACCGCGGUUUGCGUGAAAUGAAGUGGUUUGUUAGAAUUUGGAAUGAAGUGACCGACUAUGAUUGCUUUGCUUUGUUUUAUUUUAAUUUUUUUUCUUUUCAUUAACAAGUGUUAGUUUUUGAACCGAUUUUAGUUUAAUAUUAUUGUUUAUUUUAGUUUGAUCUUAUAAUUUAAUUUAAUUAUUAAUAAAUUGUAAACAAAUAAAUAAUAUUUUGAUAAUAAAUAAUGUUUUGGUAAAAAAAAGAUGGUACUUCUUAUAAAUUUUAUUUGUUAAACAUAAUGCGGAACAAAUUUAGUUAGUAAAACAAAAUCAACCCUAAACCAAAUUAAUUUUUAAAACAAAAUCAAAACAAAAACAAAUUAUUUUUAUAAGUUUUAUAACAAAAUCGAAAUUAAACUAAAUUAAUUUUUAAAACAAAAUCAAAACAAAGUGAAAUUAAUUUUUAAAACAAAUUGAAAACAGAAUGAAAUUAAUUCUUAAAACAAAAUCAAAAUGAAAUUAAUUAAACUAGUCUCAACUUUACAAACUAAAAUGAAAUCAAAUAACUAAACUAUAAACAAAAACUAAAACAUAAAUAAAAUUAAAACAGAGUGCGUACUUGCGAACAAAUUCACGGUUUGGCGGGCCGGUCCCGAUUCGGGCCGUGCCGUGCCGAACCUUUAUGGUUUGGCGGGCCGUGCCGGUCCGCUUCACGGUCCCCAACCUCCAGACCCGUAUUCGGCACGUCGUCUUAAGCGGUCCGUGCGGGUUUUGAACCGGCCCGUGUUUAGACGGUUUCGGGCGGUUGAAAAGGCGGUUCGGGGCGUGCCGGUCUGUUCGGUCUGACCCGAAUGGCCACCUCUAAAUGUUACUGAUCAAGCUCAUGCAUAAAUCAUUACAGCAAAUUUCCUAGUCUUGUCUGAAGUAUAAUACUAUUAAUACACAGAUAUGAGAUUGUCAUAAUGGUGUUCCUGGUGCUCAUCAUCUGUAGAUUUUGUAGGUGACAAAUUGACACCCUUAAGGAAAUUUCACUAAAUUUCUAUGUGCUUGACAACAUUACAAUUAUAAAAAGGUCUAAUGUCUAAGGACUCUUAUAAAGUGUUACACAACUCCUCAAACUACGCGUUACUCUUUGCCCAUGGUGAAUGGAGUGGUGCUUUGGUCUUGGAACAAAAUAUCCACUAACAAAUGCUACCACUACUGAUAAAAUGAAACCAAGUGGGAAUUCAAUCCCCUAUCCUGCCCACAAAAACCAUGAUUCCUCUUCAUAGUCAUCACCCUCUUCGUGUGCAUAUAGUGUCAGCUCAUCUUUUGAACAUUGCACCCUGAUUCGCAUCCCACAUAAUCCCCUGUUGUUAGAAAAAUAUCGCGGAUCAUUUAUCCUGUCCAUUUGUCCACCCCGCGGGAUUUUACCACUUAGCUUCCUGUUACUUACAUCUAAUAGGGAUAGUUGCUCUAGCUCCGUAAAUGAUUGUGGAAUUGUGCCCGAGAUAUUGUUGUUAGAUAGGUCCAAGGUCUCUAAACUCUCUAGAUCCCCAAGAUUUUGUGGUAUAUGUCCCGAGAGUCUGUUAUUGGACACGUUGAGUAGUUUUAGUCUCUUCGGAUUUCCUAGUGAAGCUGGAAUAGCACUUGAAAGCUCAUUCUUCGACAAGUCAAUCAAUUAGUAGAUGUGUUGGUUAUGACUUGAUAGACCUUGUGUAGCCUUUUUCCAAUUCACCAUCAAGUCAUUGAUCUUGAUCGAAAAAGAGAACAUGCGACUAAAUGAUGUAAACUGUACCCUCAAUCCUGUUUACAACUAUGUCGUCAGUUCCCAUGCCAUUUGUAUACAUAAUCUCAUGGGGAAUCAUUUCUUUUAGAUUUCCGAACUCUGAAGGGAUACUUCCAGCAAGAUUGUUAUUUGAGAGAUCAAGAUUUUGGAGUUUACUUUGGUUGGAGAAUGAGUUGGGUGCUAGUGAGCCAUGUAGAGAAUUGUUACGCAGAACUUGAAGGUAUGUCAAUUCAAAAAUAAACUCUGGGAAAUUACCUGUAAUGUUGUUGUCAUGGAGAUCAAGAUAUCAAGACUCGUCAAAUUCAUUAGGUCCUUAAGCAAGAUAAUUAACUUUCUGGAAUCAAUACACUCCUGUUAGAAAGAAUCUUGAUAGAUAGAGUGGGAUUAGUUCGACUAAUGUUCUCUUCAAUACAUUUAUGUGCCCAAAUCAAUCCUCAGGAUUCAACCUUGUGCAGUGAGGCCUAGAGCUCUUUGGUCUCAACACUUAUGAUCUUUUGUCGCGAUCAGUGACCAUUAUUUUUUUACUUGACUCAUUUCCAAGAUUAAUGUGUUUGCAUAAGUGAGUAUGCAGUUGCUCUUCCAAGUUUGAUGCAGAGGUAGGUAAGAUAAUUUCCAAAAAUGAAAAAAAAUAAAAAAUAUCUAUGAGCUUAAGUUUUUGAUGAAAUUAAAAGAUGAAUCAAUUUUUUAAACUUUUGUGAUUUUUUUUAAAAUUUUACAUUAAAAAUAUAAUCAGAUUCUAAUAUACAAUAUUUGGAAUUAUGAUUAUAUAUAUAUAUAUAUAUAUAUAUAUAUAUAUAUCCUCUAGAUUUGAUAAGAUCUGCUCCAAUUGAUUUCCAACCCGAAUGACUUGUUUUUCAAUCUUUUCGGUCUUUGUUCCGUAGUAGCAAAUCAGAAAGAUUGAGAAAUAGAACCAUCUAAUUUGAUUUGUUCUCGAUAGCCAUGAGUUGAUCGGCUCCUAUUAUACUCGUAGUCUCUCGAGGAUAUUUAGAUUAGAACCAACUAUGUAGCAUCUACAUCGAGAAUAAAAAUAUUGUAUACGUCAUUAGUCCGAUCCUUUACAAGAACUACCCGUAAUAAAAGGCUUGCUAUUGAUCCUGUCACCUUAAUUGUUAUUUGAACAAGUCAAUGCAUUAUGUACUUUUAAAUAAUUAUGUUCAAUAAUAAAUAAUAUAAGAAGUAUGAUAUAUAAGUUCCUCCAUUAUCUUACGAAAAAAAUUAUAAAAAUUUAAAUCAACUCCGAUAAGUAAAACUUAAAUCAAUUCCGAUAAGUGUUUUCUAAGAAACCAUAGCAUUACUUUUUGUUGACAUAUAUAAUACCGGAAGUCAUGUAUGCUUUGCCACAGCAGCAAGUGCAUGCAAAGCGAAAUGUUGGUGAUCAAGCUCAUGCAUAAAUCGUUAUUGCAGAUUUCCUAGUUUAGUCUGAACUCUGAAGUUUAAUAUAUUAAUACACAGAUAUGAGAUUGUGAGAAUGGUGUUCAUGGUUGCUCAUCAUCUGUUGAUUUUGUAGGUGACAAAUUGAUGCCUUGAGGAGAUUUGCUACAUUUCUCAUUAUUUACCAUUAUAAUGUCAGUACCCAUGCCCAUCCAAAACACAAUGUUACCUUAAAUCAUUCCCUUUAGAUUUCCCAUCUCUCAAGGGAUACUUCAAUCAAAAUUGUUACUUGAGAGAUCAAGUAUUCGAAGGUCACUUUGGUUGCAGAAUGAGGUUGAUGCUAGUGAGCCAAUUAGAGAGUUGUUACGUAGACUCUAGAACUUGAAGUUCAGAUAAUUGGGAAAUAUAUUCUAGGAAGUUACCUGUAAUGUUGUUGUCAUGGAAAUCAAGAUAUUCUAGAUUUGUCAGAUUUAUUAGGCUCUUAGGCAGCUUGCCAGAAAACUUAUUUUCCCCUGGUGCAAGGAUACCUAUUAGAGUGGAAAAUGACACAGGAUGAGAGAUCUACAUAAUAAAGUAAGCCAAGAGGAUUAAAAACUGGAAACAGACUUUGCAAUGAGCCCAAAUUUAAAGAUUUAAAUAGGUGAGAAGGAAUUCAACCAGUAAGGUUGUUAUCUGACAGUAGUAAACUUCCAACAUUCAUCUCAGCAAGCCAUUGCGGGAGUCUUCCUGUGAGGUGAUUGUUACUCAGGUCCAGAAUAUCAAGAUACUUUAUUGUGGAAAUCCAUUCUGGAGUGUCUCAUUCAAUUUUGCAAGAUCUUAGAGACAUUUGAGGAAGCAUACACUUUGUAUUUAUUUUAACAUUGUUUUUCCAAAUCAUCUUAUUUUAACUCUCCAUCUCAAAUAGCCAGGAGGGUAUUUCUCCGGAAAGCAUAUUAUCUUCAAGCAUAAGUGUUUCUAACUUGCUCAUGUUUCGUAAAGAUCGUGGGAUUACACCUGAGAAACUGUUUUUGCUCAAUGCCAAAGUGGAAAUGUUUAACAAGCUUCCAAUCUCACUUGGAAUCUGCACUCGUAAAUUAUUAUCCCUCAAAUCCAACGGUCAGAAUUAUAACAAAAAUUUAAUACAUCCCGCGCUUUUUAACCGCUAGACGGGGUCAUUUUACCUCAUCCAGUGGUUAAAAAACGCCGAUCGGGUUACAUGAUGUAUAUAUAUAUAUAAAAAUUAUGUUAUAAUCUGGGCCGCUCGAUAUUCAUCCAACGGCCAGAAAAGUGAUGCUGGCUAAACCGUCCCCGGCAGUCGAGUGCCAGGGACCCGCGCCCAAUAUGUAAUGCCUGAGUUUGCACGGACUCUGUUAGAAGUCUAUAUGGUAAACUGAGUGCCUACUUGUAGUGGUGUUGUGUUCGAUUUUUCCCUUAUUUUCCUUUCCUUAUACUUUUAAGUCUCUAACUCUGAGCGAGUCAACUAAGAUUUGUCACGGUACUUAGAAGUGUAAAUGACGUUAACUAUUCAUGAGACAUUCAACGCUUUUCUGAUUUGAUCAUGACAAAGGAAGGCACGCGUGUUUUUAUCAGGCCUAGUGGUUUGGCCAUUGUUUUACUUCUGUUACUUGUUUUCGUAAAGUGCAGCGGGCUGGUGGAUGCUAAAUCAUAAGGAUGUAUGAACACAACUGAACAAUGUAAACUUUCCAAUGAAUUAAUCAUACACUACAACAAUUCUGGACAUUUACGACGGAUAUUUUACAACGGAAAAGGUGGAGCGCAAAACUUACUGACGGAAAACCAAAGAAUAAAUUUUUUAACUUGAAUGUGAUUCAGAUGAGUAACAUGAGCCGUACGUCUAUGUAAUACGAAAUUAAUGUUGCUUAAUCAGUUUUUCUCUCUGUUGAUCUUGGUUAUAGAUUAGUUGGUUACCGAAUUUUCAUUUAGUUGCAUGUUAGAAAUUUGAUUAGAGAAAUGUAAUACAUGUUAGAAAUUUUCAUUUAGUUUCAGGUACAAUUCCAUAAUCAUUUCAGAAACUAAAUUAAUUAUCAGUAUUAGAUGUGAGUAGCAACAACCUAAGUGGUAAAAUCCCGUGGGGCCGACCUUUCUAAAAACUCUACCUGAAUACAGCAUCUAUCAGUCUUGAAUCUACUCACUAUUAAGUGAAAACUAGGAUUAGGAGUACGUAACGCCGACUGUUAUGCAAAAUCUACUCCACUACAACACUAUAGUAUCAAUCCAAAUAUCUUAGACCCCAUUUAUAGCAUCACAUCUUUACCGCUUCUUAAUAUCUCUUCUAACUUUAUAGGAGGGGAAAUUUCAGGCAAAGGAUUGGCUAAUCUCACGAAACUAGUUCACCUUGACAUGAGUUCGAAUGAGUUUAACGGCACAAUUCCAGCACAAGUUUUCCAAUUGAGGAAUCUGCAAUUUCUUGAUUUAUCUUAUAAUUCACUGAAGGGUGGUUUAAGUAGUGAAGUUGGCAAGCUUGGAAAUUUGAGGACUCUAAAGUUGGAAGAGAAUCGGCUUGAUGGAUAUGUUCCUGUGCAGAUUGGAAAUCUGACAAAGUUGCAACACUUUUCUAUCAAUUACAACAAAUUUUCGGGGCGUAUUCCAGAUUCAAUAGGGUAUUUGAAGGGAUUGGAAAGAUUAUACAUGAGCGAAAACAGUUUCAGUGGUUUAAUACCUCCAUCAAUAAGUAACUUGAUCAGGUUGGAAACACUUCUCUUGGAAAAUAAUAGGCUUUCUGGAGAAAUCCCUUCAAGUUUAUUUGACAUAGAGAGUCUCAAGAUCUUAAAUCUUGGAGGAAACACAUUAACUUGGAAUAACAAUGUCAAAAUAGUUCCCAAGUGUAUGCUUUCUCAACUCUCUCUCAAAUCAUGCAAAUUUUCUGGAGACAUUCCGGAAUGGAUUUCCACUCAGAAAAAUCUUGAUAUUAUCGAUCUGAGCGACUGUAAUUUAACAGGAAUAUUUCCUAUUUGGCUUGCUGAAAUGGAAGUUAAAAGUAUACUUCUGUCGCGUAACAAGCUUACUGGUGCAAUACCAUCUCGCCUUUUUCAAUCUGCGAGUUUAUCCAUUCUGGCUCUUUCAAAAAACAAUUUUUCAGGAGAGUUGCCAAAAAAUAUAGGUGAUGCUAAUAACAUCAAGGUACUUAUGCUGUCUGCAAACAGUUUUUCCGGGGCCAUUCCAAAAUCCAUUGCUGAUAUCCCUCAACUAAUGCUAUUAGACUUGUCAUGAAACAAAUUGUCUGGCAACACAUUCCCAGUUUUUGAUCCUGCAGAUUGCUCACUCAUUUAUGUUGAUUUGUCCUCUAAUGAACUUUCAGGUGACAUUCCUGUGUCAUUUUGCGGAGGAACCAGUAUUCUUGCACUGGGGGGAAAUAAGUUUUCUGGUAUGUUGCCUAGGAAACUCACAAAUAUGAUAAUGCUUGAAUAUCUUGAUCUCCAUGACAACAACAUUACAGGUAAUUUGCCAGAAUUUCUUUCCCAGCUAUCCUACCUUCAAGUUCUUAGUCUACGUAACAAUUCUCUACAUGGCUCACUACCAACCAAGUUGUUCUCCAACCAAAGUAGCCUCAAAAUCCUUGAUCUCUCAAUCAACAAUCUUGUUGGAAAUGUCCCAUCGGAGUUGGAAAAUCUAUACAAGGUCUCUCAAGUCAUAACCAGCAGUUCUAUUCUUUGCUAGACUUGUCGAAGAAUAAGCUCUCCGGUAUUAUUCCAGCUUCAUUAGGAAAGCUCAAGUAUCUAAAGCUACUGAACAUCUCCAACAACAGGCUCUCUGGAUGUAUACCACAAAGUUUUGGGGAUCUUGAGAGUAUAGAAACAUUGGACCUAUCCAACAACAAUAUUUCUGGUACAAUUCCAAAGUCAUUUAUGAAGUUAGAUGAACUCUCUGUGUUAGAUGUGAGCAACAACAAGCUAAGUGGUGAAAUCCCGCGGGGUGGACAAAUGGACACGAUGAAUGAUCCGAGUUAUUUUGCUAACAACAGUGGGUUAUGUGGCAUGCAGAUCAGGGUGAAAUGUUCAAAAGACGAGCCACCACCAGAUGAUGGACAAGAAGAGGAUGACCUUGAUGAAAAAGAGGAAUGGUUCUUGUGGACAGGAGUGUGGAUUGGAUUCCCACUGGGCUUGAUUUCAUCAGUAUUAACAGCAUUUCUUGGUGGGUAUUUUGUUAUACCGAUAACAAAGUACCACUCGAUUCACUAUAGGCAAAGAUGAAUGCAGUGUGUCAUCUAGCACUGGAAGCCCUUGGAUUACAUUGCUCAGGUUGUUAUCUUUGUUCCAAAAUAAAAACAUUGUGGGUUGUAAUUAUAUUAUUGUAGUUUUCCGAUUAUAUUUUCAAUGUAGCUAAAAUAUUUUAUAAAAAAACAAAAACAAGUAACAUCAUUCUUGUCUCAUCUCAUUUGUGAUUUUUGUUGUUUCAAAUUAGAACAAUGCAUUCAAAGAAAAUAUUAAUAAUUAUGUAAAAUAUAGAAAUUAAAUAUUAUUUCUUUCAUUAAAAUAGAUUGAUAUUAUUUAUUAAGAACAUAAUGAACUUGGUUAUUAUAAAUAAUUUCAACAAUCUAAGAAUCAUGGCUAAAGUUCCGCACUUUAAAAGAAUUGUAUAGUAUGAUUCUCUAUCUUAAUAUUUAUUUAGCAUUCAAUAGAUUACGCAAAAAAAUUAUCUAAAUUAAACCAAUAUAAGACAAUGAAUAUAUGCCUAUAUGAUAAUAUUAAUUCUAGCACAUUAUUAUAAAGUGUCAUUAAUCUAAAAAGGGUCAAAAAAAUUUACUAAAUCUCUAUCAACAUUAUCAAACUCACAAAUUCCAAUGUACAACUAUACAAUUAGCAUCAACACUAUUGAUGUUCUUAAUAUUAGAAAUUAUCAAAUUGGGAUUUUGGGUUUGAUAAUUCAUGAAGAGUGUCUGUGUAGUGUAGUUUAUCAUCUUUUUUUUAGAGGACAAAGAGUGCUUGGAUUAUUCAUCUUCACAAGCCUGAUCGAUAUAUAUAAGUAGCGGAGAUAGUGAAUUGGCUUAUAUAUCCUUCUUUCACUGGGUCCAAAUGUUCUCUUUAUUAGCAAUUCAAGGUUGGCAUGUUUGAUGCAAUGAAAGAUGUUAUAUGGGUGUUUGUGUGAAAGUAGAUAAGUGAGCAAAUAUAGUAAAAAUGUAAGAUGUAAUAUAGGUGUGGAAAACAUGUCCUUUUAUCGAUCAGUUUUAAACAGAUCAGUAUUAGAAUUGAUGUAGAAAACAAUAUUCUUAGAAUUGCCAAUGGAGCAUAUUGCUGAAGAAUAUAUAUGUAUGGUAUCAUUGAUUAAAUGAAUUAAAUUUAAUAACCACAAUAAUAAUUAUACAACAUCAAACCUCAAACUAAAAUAACCAAAAAAAAAAACUGAAAUCAAUUGCAUUGUAAUCUUGCAUCUAGAAUAUUAAAAUGUUAUAACAUAGAUAUAAUUUGCAACAAGGUGAAAUUCUUAUUUUUAUAGAAAAUGGAAACAUAACAAUGAUAAAGAUAUUAAUUUCAAUCCAUACUUUGAAGAUAUAUAGAUCUCUCUCCAAAGACAACAAAAUAUGAGAACGACUGAAUAGAUGGAAACAUAGUCAAUUUAGAAUCUUGAAUCUAUAGCACUCAAACAAAAGGUGCCUCAAUGAACAAAGAAUUUCUAUAAAUUACUACAUCUAGAACCACAUAACUUACGGUGGUCAUUGUCCGCACUGUCCCAUAAUUUAUGUCGCCGUUCCAUCUGCGCACCAUGGCGUUGAAAAGGGUAGGUAAUGAGAUAGGGGAAAAACAAGCCCCUGAAAUAAAAAUCAAGUGAAGAAGUUCUUCGGAUCUUAAAAGUCUAUUCGGAACUUCCGAAUACAGAUUGAUAAGAUCUACCAGCGCGACCCUGCCAAAUCCACGAAGAACAUUAACACAAACACGAUUCAACAUAGAAAAGCAAAUUAUCCAGUUUAUUAAUUCCACUGCGGGUGGAACAUUUAGUGACACCACAAUCGGGACAGAUUGCCCUCUAUUGGGUCUAUUUCUCGACCCACGACAAUGUCCAUGACGCCGGGCUGAAGAAACUCCUCCGCCGUUACCCAUCGCAACAUUAACAUUUGACAUAUUAGAUGAACGCGAAUGAAGUUGGAAAGUAAUUUGGCAGCGGCGGAUCAAAAGAACAAUGCACAUAUAUAGACAGAGAUUUAGGGCAGGGUGUUUUUACGGCGCCUUGAGCCUAAGAUUUUAAAAUUUUAAUUAUUUAUUAUGUAUUCAUUUUUAGUUUAAUUUUUUAAUUGCCCUAUUUUGUGGAAAAGUGAAAGAAAAAUAAAAUUUGUUUAACUUAUUGAGUCAUGUCUAAAAAAUAAUAUUUACAUACUUGUAAAACUAUUUAAUAUAAAAUGUGUGUAAAUUGCUAGAAGAUAUGUAAAUAUGAUAUGUAUUAUUGUACUCAUAAAUGUAUUAUCUAACAAUUUACACAUUUUAUUUAAAAUAAUUUUUUAAAUAUGUUAAAAUUUUAUUCUUAAGCAUAACUUUAUGAGUUAAACAAAUUUUAUUUUUCUUUCAUAUUCCCAUUAAAUAGAGCAAUUAAACUAUUCGGUUUGGCUAGUGUGUGCCCAUGGGCACAUGCUAAGCGCGGAAAUUUUUGUAUUUGGGAGAUUUUGAUUGGUGUGGUUGGUGUAUUUGCAGGGGGGUCCACCAUUAUCAUGAGAUAGGAGCCAAUCAAAAUGAUCCAAGUACAAAAUUUUCCGCGCUUAGGAUGUGCCCAUGGGCACAUCAUAGAAAAAUCGUAAACUAUUAAAUUAAAAUUGAAUAUAUAAUAAAUAAUUAAAAUUUUAAAAUCUGAGGCUCAAGACAUCAUGAAAACACCCUCCCUUGUAUCUAUGUUUAUAUCUGUCCAUUUUUCUUUUAUUCUGUUGCUGCCAAAUUACUUUCCAACUUCAUUCGCAUCCAUCAAAUAUGUCAAAUACUAAUAUUGUAGUGGGUUCAGAGGACUUUCUCAUUCCAAGCGUCGUGGACAUUCUCGUGGGUUAAGAAAUAUACCCGAUAGAAGCAAUUUGUCCCGACAUUGAUGUCACUCAAUGUUCCACCCGAAGUGGAGUUAAUAAACUAGUUAAUUGGCUUCUCCAUGUUGAACAAUGUUUGUGUCGAUGUUCUUCAAGGAUUUGGCAAGUUUGCACAAGUGGAUCUUAUCUAUUUGUAUUCGGAAGGUCCGAAUAGACUUUUAAGAUCUGAAAAAUUUCUCGAUUGAUUUUUAUUUCAAAGACUUGUUUUUCCCUAUCUCAUUACCUAGCAUUUUCAACACCAUGGUGCGCAAAUGAAACGGCGACAUAUAUUAUGGAACUGUGCGGACAAUGACAAUUGUAAGUUAUGUGGUUCUAGAUGUAGUAAUUUAUAGAAAUUCUUUAUUCAUUGAGACACCUUUUCUUUGAGUAUUAUAAAUUCAAGAUGCUAAAUUAACUAUGUUUCCAUUUAUUCAAGCCUUCCUUGUGAUUUUGUUGUCUUUUGAGAGAUUUAUAUCUCUUUAAGUAUAGACUGAAAUGAAUAUCUUUAUUAUUGUUAUGUUUUCAUUUUCAAUAAAAAUAAGAAUUUCAGCUUGUUUGCAAAUUAUAUCUACGAAAUAAAAUUUUAAUAUUCUAGAUGCAAAAUUACAAUUUAAUUGAAUUAAGUUCAUUUUUUUGCUUAUUUUAGUUUGGGUCAAUGUUGUAUAAUUAUUUUGUUGCAAACAAUGAUACCAAACAUAUUCUUCUGGCUACUCCAUUGAGAAUUACAAUAAUAUUGUUUUCCUCAUCAACUAAAAUACUGGGUGUCAACUGCAAUACGAUCAGUUUAAAACUUUACUGUAUAUAUGCUCAUUGUAUCUACUUUCACAAAGGCACCAAUAUAAUAUAUUUCAUUGCAUCAAACAUGCUAACCUUGAAUUGCUAAUAAAGAGAGCAUCAUGACCAUUUAGACCUAGCGAAAAAAGGAUAUAUUAGCCAACUCGAUCAAUUAUCUUCUCCUACUUGUAUAUAUCAAGCAGGCUUGUCAAGAUGAAUAAUCUGGACACUCUUUCUCUUCUAUAAAAUGAAUUACAAAACCCCAAUUCCUAAUAUUAAUAACACAAGUUCUCUGGCUUUGAUAAUGUAUAUAGAGAUUUAGUAAAGAAUUGUAACCCUUUCUAAGAUUAAUAGACCAAUGACACACAUCUUAUAAUAAUGUGCUAGAAUUAAUAUUAUCAUAUAUUCAUCAUCUUUUAUGAUAAUUGUUGAAUUUAUAUUUUAAGUAAUCAAAUGAAUGCUAAAUAAACUUUAAGACAAGAAUCAAAUUCUACAAUUCUUUUAAAGUGCCGAACCUUAGCCAAGCUCCAACGUUCUUGAUUGUUUAUAAUAACCAAGUUCAUUAUUUUCUUACUAAAUAAUAUCAAUCUAUUUUAAUAAGAGAAAUAAUAUUUAAUUUCUAUAUUUUACAUAAUUAUUAAUGUUUUUUUUGAAUACAUUGUGCUAAUUUGAAAUAACAAAAAUCACAAAUGACAUGAUACAAAAAUAAUAUUCCUUGUUUUUAAUUCUUUGAAAUAUUUUAACUACAUUGAAAAUAGAAUCAAGAAAUUACUAUUAUAUUUGAAUAAACCCUUUGAUUAUUCAGAAAUAAAGUUUUUAUUCUCUAAAUGCAAGAUUGCAAUAGAAAUUAAAUUAAGUUUUUUUUACUUAUUUUAGUUUGGGAUUCAAUACUUUGUGAUUUUGUGGUUACAGAGAAUGGUUGCUAGCCUAAUGACGCACGUAGUGACAAACAAGAUAUAUCUUUUUUUACAUUAAAUAUUGUUUAUAUUUGUUAAUAAUUACUUAUAUAACUUGACCUUUGACAAACUAGAUAUAUCUUUUGUUUACAUAUAGUAUUGUAUAUAUUUGAUAAUAAUUAUAUGACUUGGCCAUUUAUCAAACCUAGAUAUUUUAGUUAAAAAAAAAAUUCUAGCCCAACUAAAAGUCUGAUAGCCAGUUCUAGACUUCUAGUAUCCAGAUUCAUUCUACUUGAACUUUAAUCACCUAAAGCAUGCAUGCAGAUGGUAUAACAUAUAUAUUACUUUAUUUAUGAGAUCACGGAAAAACAAACAAACAAACCACAUAUUCCCAUUUUUGUUUAUUCCAAACCAAUUGGGUACCAAAUAAUAACUCUGCUUAUGCAUGUACUAAUAGGAGUGAAGUUGAUUUUCAUUAGGACAGAAACAAAUCAUGAUGCAAUUAGUAUAAACACACAAUGAUUUAACUCUGAAUUAACAAACUAAGGAAAACAAACAAGAUAAAUGAAGGAGCAAAAACAUGUUACAAUAGUAGCAUGUUACGAUAGUAUUGUACUUACGUAAUAGAAGAGGAACAGUGUCACGAGCUUCCAAGUCACAACCUUACGAUAGCUUUCUUUCCAUGCAAUAACAAAUACAAUGUGUACUUUUAUAUUAACACUAUGGUGUUGAUAGCAUGUUAGAACAAAUAUACUAUACUAGUUCAGAUAGCAUAUAAGAGUAGUGAAGUUGCAAUAUUUUUCUCUUGUGUGUUAUACAAGCUCAAUCUUCAUCCCUAUUUAUGUGUAUACAAGAUGUAGGUUACAUAAACUUGACGAGCCAAAAGUCAUGGACUUGUAACUUGUAAGGACAUGGACUUAAGUUACAUGUAGUUGAAAGAUCAAAGGGUAGAGCUUUGAACAUUCUAGAGUCAUCCCCUUGUAUACAUAAUAAUAAGUAGAUUAUAACCAUACUAAUCUGUUGGACUUAAGUUACAUGUCGUAUGAUUUCACAUAUGGCUUAUGUCUACAUAGUACCUUAGUACCAAUACUGAUUUUCAACUAACUGAGCUCCUUCCUUGUCAAGUCAAGUCCAUGUUUUCACUACUAUAUUUAUAAGCACCUUAGUUCAUAGGACAUGACAAUUAAAUAUAGUUCCCUCUAUGCUGUACAAUAAAACAUGUUCUAAAGCAAAUAAACCACUCAGUUAUAGAGAGGAGAUUAAAAUAAUUUUAUUUUUAUAAAUAUUUGUGUGAUCCAAAUGUGCAGACACUAAAUUCUUUAGAAAGUUUUUUAUGGGGUUUGAGCAUGAACUAAUUUGGGAAAAAACAUAUACUGGCUGCCAAUAUUUUAUAAACAACAAUAUGAUGACAAGGAAUAUAUGAAAUACAAUUACUCUAAUUUAUUCCAGAACAAAGACGAACACAUUUGGGAUUUAUCUAUACACAUUACUUGUGUUCUUGAUGAUUCUUGAACAUGCACUUUAUUUAGGACAAAGAGUAUACAAGUUAUCAGUUUUAUUAAUAAAUUCUGAACAUAUUACUCACUUAUGGGACAACAGUUGCUAAAUAUAAUAAUUGUAUGUAUAGAUAGUAUAUGAAAUCUGUUACCUUAGGCCUGAAGGUCGAGUGAUGGCAGCACAGUUAUCAUCCAACAGAUUAGUACAUAGGCUUAACAUCCCUGUGAAUAAAAAGUGUUAUUAGCUUUAGUAAUGUGCAGAUAAGGCAUCCAUCUUGCUGCACCAAUAAAAAUAUGAAGUAAUAUUAAAUUUUGUACAAAAUGCCCCCUUGCAGUUCCAACACAAUAUACAUUGAUCAAAUAAGCCAGGACCAUUUCAUUAUCCCCUUCGCGCAGUAAACCAAUUAGUGACACGAAAUGUCUGUGCCUAGAAAUCAUUAGGAUAAAAAAUUUAAGGAUCAACAAAGAAACUAAGAAUCAUUAGCUUCAAACUAAAAACCACCCAGGUUCAGUCAUUCCAUCACAGCAUUACAAACAAUUCUCUAUUCAACACCAAUCAUUGGGUAACACUCAAUUUUACCAAAUAAUUUCCAGAAACAAUACAUUACCUACCAACCUAAUCAAACAAUCACAUUAAUAUAUAUCUAAAGAAUAUAACCACUUACAAUACUACCAAAAAAAAUGAAAAUGAAGAGCACGACAAUACAGUAUUACAUGGGUUCUGUAUGUUGAUUCGAUCACAUUAAAUAGGCUUAAUGACCUUUUAACCCUCGAAGUAUGGGGUGAUGUACCGAUGCGGCCUCAAAGUUUGAAAGCGUACCUUUCGACCCUCAAUGUUUGUACGUCGUACCUUUUAACCCUUUUCGAUUAUACCGGUAUAAAUCGGAGGGGUAAAGUAGAGAAUUCCUAAUUUGGGUUAAGUUUCAGCGUACCAUUUAAACCCUAAAGAAUACAAAACCACUAAACACUAAAGUGAGCUCGAGCUGCUGGCGAUUAGAAGAGACAAGGUGCGAUUUGGUGUGGAUCGAAGUUGUAGAUCGUGAUGGCUAGCAUUAGCAACAGCUCCUCUGGUAAUUUCUUAACCCUAUUUUGAACUUGAAUAAUCUGAUUACCCCCCUGUAGAUGCAUCAAUAUCACAUAGCUUUUGUUUUUUCUUUAUGAUUAUCUUGCAAUGUUUAUCUCGUGGUUUUGUGAUUACAAGGUGAUGAUUGUAUAUCGUUGAGUCUGUUCCAUGGGGGGUGUUUAAAUUNAAACAAAGAGAAUGAAACUGAAACUGCAAAGUUACAAUGUAAAUAUUGCAGUAAAAAUGAAACAACAAUGUGAAAAAAUUAUAAAGGCCGAGCCACAAAACCUCUAAUAACCAUUUUCUCUACCAAUUCUUCAUGUUUCUUUAUCUGUCCUGCUUUUCUCAGCUGCUGCAAAACCAUUUCAUACACUGCCUCACUAGGCUUCAAGCAUUUUUCUUCCAUCAUUUCUCUGAAAAACUUGUAAGCAUUAUUCCAGUGUCCCAUCCCACAAUAUAGGGAUAUCAGAAUCCUGUAAGUAUUCACAUUAGGCUCAAUCUCACCCUCGUCCAUCUCUUCUUUAAGCUUGAUAACCAUGUCAGCAGACUUAGAAUGACGGCUCAUGGCAUAGUUGACAGGUUUGCUUGCUUUAUUUACGAAUAUACAAGCUCAAGUAACUCAAAUAUCCAAAAACAAUUGUGGCAACUUCAGUAAUGACCCCAAAAAUUUGCUGGUGUAUAAACUUAAGCUCAUUAAGACAACAAAGAGAAUGAAACUGAAACUGCAAAGUUACAAUGUAAAUAUUGCAGUAAAAAUGAAACAACAAUGUGAAAAAAUUAUAAAGGCCGAGCCACAAAACCUCUAAUAACCAUUUUCUCUACCAAUUCUUCAUGUUUCUUUAUCUGUCCUGCUUUUCUCAGCUGCUGCAAAACCAUUUCAUACACUGCCUCACUAGGCUUCAAGCAUUUUUCUUCCAUCAUUUCUCUGAAAAACUUGUAAGCAUUAUUCCAGUGUCCCAUCCCACAAUAUAGGGAUAUCAGAAUCCUGUAAGUAUUCACAUUAGGCUCAAUCUCACCCUCGUCCAUCUCUUCUUUAAGCUUGAUAACCAUGUCAGCAGACUUAGAAUCAGCAAACAUCCUCAUCAGUAUAUUGUAUGUCACUGUAUUAGGCUUACACUUUAUCUCUUUCAUCCUCGCAAACAACCUGUGAGCAGAAUUAACAUCCCCUGCUUUCAAAAUACACCUAAAUAUCGGGUUAAAUGUAGAAGCAUUUGCCUCACACCCUUUUCUGACCAUUGUAUUGAUAACCUUAACAGCCUCAUCCCGAUUCUCAUCCCUACAAUGACUCUCUAUAAGAAAAUUAUAAGUAACAGUAUCGGCAGCACAAGAUAGCUUCCUCAUCUGAUUAUACACCUGCAAAACCUUCUCUGUCCGUCCAGCCUUGACAUGCACCCGCAUCAAAUUAUUAAAUGUAAUAGAAUUCGGCUGACAUCCCACAUCAAUCAUCUCCGCAAACACAUCAUGAGCUCGCGUAAUCUGCCCACACCGACACAACGCAUCAAUAACAAUACUAUAAGUAUAAACAUUCGGCUGAAUCCCAACCUCCUUCAUCUCACUAAACACCCUUUCCGCCUCUGAAAUAUUCCCCGCCCUGCACCACCCAUUAACCAAACUAGUAUACACCACAACAUCCGCCUCAAACUUCCCCUUCAACCCAUCAAAAAACUCUUGAGCCUCAACCGCCCUCCUCUUCUUACAAAGAAACGAAACAACAUUAGUAAACGCAAUCUUAUCCGCCACACACCCAUACUCCCCCAUUCUAUUAAACGCAAGAAUCGCCUCACUAGCCAACCCCGCCCUCACAUACCGCCUAAUCAAAACCGAAAACGUCGAAUUCGACACCUCAAUUCCAUUCUCCUUCAUAUCAUCAAUCAAACCCCACGCCACAUCAAAUGCGCGCACCUUUCCACAAAGGUCAAUCAUAUCAUUAUAAGCAUCACUACACUAAUUUAUCAGCCCAAUUAAAGAACGCGAGAGUCUGGCUAAAGGGGAUACCGUGGCGGGGGGACCCGCAUUUGUGGAUGACAUGGCGAAUGACGUUGGGAGAGAGAGAGAUGGGAGAGAUUUGGGAGAGAUCGAAGGAGAGAGUGGGGAGAGAGAGAUUGGAGCGUCAAUCAUCUCCGCAAACACAUCAUGAGCUCGCGUAAUCUGCCCACACCGACACAACGCAUCAAUAACAAUACUAUAAGUAUAAACAUUCGGCUGAAUCCCAACCUCCUUCAUCUCACUAAACACCCUUUCCGCCUCUGAAAUAUUCCCCGCCCUGCACCACCCAUUAACCAAACUAGUAUACACCACAACAUCCGCCUCAAACUUCCCCUUCAACCCAUCAAAAAACUCUUGAGCCUCAACCGCCCUCCUCUUCUUACAAAGAAACGAAACAACAUUAGUAAACGCAAUCUUAUCCGCCACACACCCAUACUCCCCCAUUCUAUUAAACGCAAGAAUCGCCUCACUAGCCAACCCCGCCCUCACAUACCGCCUAAUCAAAACCGAAAACGUCGAAUUCGACACCUCAAUUCCAUUCUCCUUCAUAUCAUCAAUCAAACCCCACGCCACAUCAAAUGCGCGCACCUUUCCACAAAGGUCAAUCAUAUCAUUAUAAGCAUCACUACACUAAUUUAUCAGCCCAAUUAAAGAACGCGAGAGUCUGGCUAAAGGGGAUACCGUGGCGGGGGGACCCGCAUUUGUGGAUGACAUGGCGAAUGACGUUGGGAGAGAGAGAGAUGGGAGAGAUUUGGGAGAGAUCGAAGGAGAGAGUGGGGAGAGAGAGAUUGGAGGUGGGGUUGGGGUUGUUGCGGUGGUGGGUUUUGAUUAGGGAGUGGAGUUGGUCUGAAAUUAGGGUUUCGGAUGGGGAGAGAUGGAGGAUGGGUUUGAUUAAUUCGGGUUCUUCGAGAGUUUGUAGGGCUGGAGAGGUGAGUGUGGAGAGAGGAGAGAUGAGGUGGGAGGGGAGACGUAGGCAUUGCUUUGACUUGAUUAUCAUGGCCGCCAUGGUAGUAGGGGGAGGAAGCUAGCAACCAAAAUGGAUACCAAAAAUAGUGUUCGGAUUGGAGCAAGGUUUAUGGUAUAAAACUUUUGUAAUAUUUUGUUUUCAAAAAACUUUUGUAAUAUUUUUUUUUGUUACGAGGAACAUAAUUAUGAAUAUAAGUAAGUACUUUUUGGAUAUUGAGACAAUAUAAUAUUUAAUAUAACUAAAAAGAUCUCGUUAAGAUUUUGUAAGAGUAAAAUUCUAUGAAAAAAAAAUUUAAGAAUAAAAAAAGAAUAUCUAGAAAAAAUAAAUACAUCGUUUAUAAAUAGUCUAAAGAUAAAAAGGGGAAAAUGACCGGUUUGGUUCGUGAACAGAUACCGGUUUUGAAAUGAAGAAUCAGUUUAGCAAAAAAUUCAAGAAUAAAAAAGAAUCUAGAAUACAUCAUUCAUAAAUAGUCUAAAGAUAAAAGGAGGAAAAUGGCAUGUUUGGUUCGUGAACUGAUACCGGUUUUGAAAUAAAGAAUCAGUUCACCAUCUUAUUAGGUUAAGGAGUGUAUUAUAUUGAGAAUUUAAAAGAUUUUUAUUCAUUUAUGAAAUCGGAGAGUAUUCAACUCGGAUUUCAUAAAAUGUAUCAUAAUUGUGGGAUAUUCCCUUAAGAUUUAAAUUACACAUAAAAAUUGGUGGUAUUCAAUUAGAAUUUCAAAUUAUAUUUUAAAAUUUGAUGGCAUUCAAUUAAUAUUAUUUAAAAUCCACUAAAAUUUGAUUCAAAUGUUAAUGUAUUUUUUCGGAAUUUCCAAAAUGAUGGAUUUUGUAAGAUUGUUCAUUGUAUUUUAAGCACUAUGCUUAAAUCAUAAAGAUUCUCAUCAACUCUGCAAUAUUUUAUCUAUAAUCCGCAUGUCAGGUUUUUCUUGUGCAUAAAUAUACAGGUUUCCAUGUCAGGUUUUGAUGAUAGAUUGGUAAAUGGAGGAAGCAUAUUGGAAUUGAUUGGUAAAGAGAGGAGGAAUGGAAAGAGUCCCGAAGAAGUUGAAAAGAUUUAUACUCGAGGCAUUUGAAGUUGCUAGUAUGCUCAAGGCAUUUGAAGUUGCUAGUUUCUCAUCUUUUUGCUAUUACUGUUCAUGUUUGGUUGGAUUUGUUAAGUACUUUGACUUGUAUGAAAGAAUAGUUUAUUGGGAUGUUUAAUAUCUAAAAAGUAUAUUUUCAAUUUCUUUCCGUUUAUAAUGUUGUCUUUCAUGAAUUAAAUGUGGCUCCACAGUACUAGUAGGUGGGGUCCACACGUGGGUCCCACUUUUUUUUGAAAUCAGAAACUCUAACGUGACAUAAAAUUUUAGUUGCAAUAGGGUAGUUAGAUGUUGCAGUAGCAUGGUUGUUGUAACAUAAAAACCCUUGUUGCAGUAGGUGACUAUAAUGUUGCAGUAGAGGCCUAGGGCAACAUGAAAAAAUGCAACUUAAAUAUUAUGUUGCAAUAGCCCUUUUUCGGGCUAUGGCAACAUAUUUUGGGGUUUUGGCAUCAUUUUUUGUAUGUUGUUGUAGGCCAUAUAUGGCGUAGUGAAUCCAUUAAAAUAUUUUACUAUAUAAAAUUUAUUAAAAUGCCGGUUGAAUACACGCCUUAAAUAUUAUUUAUGUGUUUGAUGGUGUUGUAAUGACUUUAUUUAAUUUUAAACAUUAUUAUGUUAUUAAUUAUUUUAUCUUAUUUUAUUAUAUAGAAGUUUAUAAAUAUUUUUUAUUAUUAACAUUUAUUUGUAUAUAUAUAUAAAUAUUCGUACCAUUUUUUCAUACUAUUUUUUUAUGAGCAUUUAUAUUUGAGCAAAAAUACAUAUAUAUGAGUUGAGAUCUUUGAAGACUAAAUAUUUUGGAGACUUUGAAGACCACAUCCAACACUAUUGGAUCAAAACAUAAAUAGACGGUUGAUUAGAAAUACAGAUGGAUAAGUGUUUUCAUUUUUAAAAAUGUAAAAUAACUACCUGCAGUAUGUGAUAAACAUUAAACAAGGACCGUAUUUUGAAUCUUAUACUACUACAUAUCAAUAUCCCACUUUCUACUCCAAUCUGAAGAAAUUAAUUGUUCUUCAAUUUCUCCCCUUAAUCAAAUCAAAGGGAUUGCGGGAUAAAUUCAGUAUCAAAAAACAAGUGCAGAAUAGUGAUAAUGGGCAUUCGUGCUUUGUCCCCUAGAUCAUUGUUGUAUGUCAACAAAAAGAUAAACAGCUUUACAACGACAAACUAAUUGCUUCUCAUGUACCACCAUAUGCAAAACUUUCACUAACUACAAGUCAAAAAUAUGCAAAACAAAACAAGACGUGCAGAACAAUUGAACCAAACAUGCAGAUGGACAAUAUGAGAAACAGGGGAACAAAAUAUGAGGAACAGGAGAACAAUUAGCGGUUAUGGAUAAUGGUAUAUGUUUACUAUACAGAAGGAUUAAGCUAUACAGAAAGAAAGGUGUAGUUAUGUAGAUAUUAUUUUAAUUAUAAAUUAUAAAUUAUAAAUUAAGUUUAUAACAGUCGUUGGAUUAUAACUGAAUUAAUGAUCUGGAUGCUGGUCUCCAAGUCUCCAAAGUUAUGUGGUCUCCACGGAACCUAAGCCUAUAUAUAUAAAGUGUUUUUUCAUAAACAUUAAAUGAUAUUGUUAUAAAUUUAGAAACUUCAAUUUUCAACGUGUUUGCCGACGAGAACACAAUUUGUUAGUACACCUGAUGUGGUGAAUGGGGAUGCAUGCCUCACCAUUCUUAUGUCUGACUGUAUAUAUGGUUACUUGUUAGGCUUCAUGUGAGAAACUACAUAUUUGCUUCUCAAAAGAUGUGACAUGACAUGAGGCUGGCGGUUCCAUCUGGUAUGUUCAUUCCUUCAGUUUUCUGGGAUUCAUCUGCUUGCGUAAUUUCUUCUACUUUGCCUAAUUCAUUUAACGUAUAGCUCCCAGAGGCAUGUUUUUUUUUUUUUUUUUACAGAACCCAGAGGCAUGUUAAAUCAGUUAAACAUGCAUGAAAUAGUAAUUUACUUGUAAUGUGAUACAUCAUACAGCCAAAUUUGACAUCCUAACUGUUAGUUAAACCUAAUUUAUUAAGUGCAUGUUUGGUCACAGGCACUUCUAGCUUUCUGUGAUAAAAAGUCGGUAUCUACUUUUUUUCACCCGUGUGUAAAAAAACAUAAGCAUUUAUAAGGAGUUGAGAAUUCUUUUGUUCCAAACAGUUUAAUCACUUAUAAGUCUUAAUUUAAUUCUCAAUUCUAGUCCACUUUUUUACUUUAAGCAAGAAUCACUUUUUUUAACCAUCCUAUAAAUACUUGCAUGGUCUAUCUCUAACAUCAUCCUCAACAUCUUUACAUAUAUGGUAAGAAUAAUGGCAAAGGUUGCAUACUUAGCAGUGGUAUUGGUUGUGGUGGUGGCUCGUAUGCUGGUGGAGCCGGGUGAAGCUCUAACAUGUGGUGCACCCGAGGAACAGAGAACAGGAGCUGUCUGCAAUGUUUAUACCAGAGGUGAUCAACCAGAGCCAUCUGGUGAGUGCUGCAAUGCGUAUAGAGCACUACGUGCAACAGCCAAGACACGAGCAGAAAGGAGGCAAUUGUGUUCUUGCGUCCAGGAAGCAACUUCACAAAGCAGAUAUAAUCGUGGUGCUACUGCUAAUCCUGCUGCUCGUAUUCCAAGAUUUGAUUCUCUAUCAGAAAAAUGUGGACUUCCUUCUCUGUUCUCUGCUGAUCCUGAAUUCGAUUGCAAAACGUAAGUGUCUCUGAUCUGAUCUUUAAAAGCUAGCCACAAUAAUACAGUAGUCGAUAUGCUCUCAUGGAUUUUAAUUUUGCUUUCUUAUGCAGAGUAAAUUGAUGUCACUUCCUUUCAUGAAAGCAGUUGGAGGACAAACAAUAAUGCUAUAACUACUUGUAUUUCUGCGCUAUUAAUAAAUAAGAGAUCAUUAUAUGUACGCGGGUGUUACAACACAAAGAAAGAGUACUCAACCAAACUAUUCAAAUAGCUACAUGAAUAAAAUAUAUAUACACACAUUGCUACAUUUCUCUGUGCUCGACAGUAUUACUAUCAUAAACUCUAACUAAAUAACUGUGAACUAAUGCUGUGUAUAUAUACAAUGUGGAAGAUUCUGUUAUUCUUAGCUGAAGCCUAAUUAACUCUGCAAAGCUGUCACACGAGAUGGAGCUAAUUGAGCUCUAGUGUCUUCUAGAGCCUUGGUAUAGUUUGCAGAUUCAUAUAUUGAAUCAACGAGAUGGAAUUUCUCCAAGCCCUUAUAUAUAAUCAAUUUAUAUGAUUAAAAUUCAUAAUUUGUAGUAUUUAGACCCCCAAAACUCAUAAUUUCGUAGUGUUUUGUCUUUAAAAUUUUUUUAGUAAAAUUUCGCCCCCCGGAAAAUAUUUUUGGUUCCGUCCCUGUUUGUGUGUCAACACUUUUGAUGAUCAUUUGUUGCGAUCAGUGACCAUUAUUUCUUUUACUUGGUUCAUUUUCUAGAUUGUCAGCAGGCAUGGCGAUUCGCCAACAAACUUGAGACAAGAUUAAUGUGUUUGCGGUUUGCAUAAGGUUAUAUAGCUUAAGUUCUUAAUUGAACAAAAUUUAACUUAAUAUGCAAUGCAGAGGUAAGAUAAUUUCCAAAAUGACAAUCAUAUUUUUAUCCGUGAGCUUAAAUUUUUGAUGAAAUUAAAAGAUCAUUCAAUUUUGUAAACUUUCCCGAAAAAUUUUAAAAUUAUACAUUAAAAAUAUAAUCAAACAUCAAUAUACACCUUUUGGAAUUUUCAUAAAAUCCACAUCUCCUAAAUCUCAUAAUAUACCCUCAAUUAAUCUGAUAAGAUCCACACGUAUUGAUCUCCAGCUAUCCAAUCGCAUUGAUUUCCAUCCGGCAGGUGUAUUAUGUACUUUUGGAUAAUUAUGUUUAAAUAUAGAUAAUAUAAAAAGUAUGAUAUAUAAUUUCCUCCAUUAUCUUAAGGAAAAAAAAUAUAAAAAAUUAAAUGUUUUUUUUUGAGAAAUCAUAUCAUUACUUUUUACUGAAAUAAAAUAUUGUAAGUCAUGUAUGCUUUGCCAAAGCAGCAAAGGCAUGCAAAGCGAAAUGUUACUGAUCAAGCUCAUGCAUAAAUCCUUACUGCAAAUUUCCUAGUCUUGUCUGAAGUAUAAUAUAUUAAUACACAGAUAUGGGACUGCGAGAAUGGUGUUCAUGGCAUUGCUCGUCAUCUAUAGAUUUUGUAGGUGACAAAUUGACACCCUUAAGGAGAUUUGCUACAUUUCUAUGUGCUUGACAGCAUUACGAUCAUAAAAAGGCCUAAUGUUUGAGGACUCUUAUAAAAUGUUAUAUAACUUUUAAAACUACGCGUUACUCAUAACGUCUAAGGACUCUUAUAAAGUGUUGUAUAACUCUUAAAACUAGGCGUUACUCUUUGCCUAUGGUGAACGGAGUGGUGCUUUGGUGUUAGAACAAGACAUCCACCAACAAAUGCUAUCACUACUGAUGUUCUCUUCAAUACAUAUAUGUGCCCAUAUCAAUCCUCAGGAUUCAGCCUUGUGCAGUGAGGCUAGAGCUCUUUGCGUCUCAACACUUAUGAUCUUUUGUCGCGAUCAAUGACCAUUAUUUUUUUUACUUGACUCAUUUCCUAGAUUGCCAGCAGUCAUGGCGAUCGCCAACAAACUUGAGACAAGAUUAAUGUGUUUGCAUAAGUGAGUAUGCAGUUGCUCUUCUAAGUUUGAUGCAGAGGUUGGUAAGAUAAUUUCCAAAAAUGAAAAAAAAUAAAAAAAUAUCUAUGAGCUUAAGUUUUUGAUGAAAUUAAAAGAUGAUUCAAUUUUUUAAACUUUUGCGAUUUUUUUAAAAUUUUACAUUAAAAAUAUAAUCAGAUUCUAAUAUACAAUAUUUGGAAUUAUGAUUAUAUAUAUAUAUAUAUAGGGAAGUGCUCAAAUACAAACUAAGUUAGUGUACAAACUACAAACUUCAAUAUUUGGAAUUAUGAUUAUAUAUAUAUAUAUAUANNNNNNNNNNNNNNNNNNNNNNNNNNNNNNNNNNNNNNNNNNNNNNNNNNNNNNNNNNNAGAAAAUGGCGGGAUGAGGUAUGUGGUGAUGGUAAAUAGUCAUUGGUAGUGGCAAGUUAUGAUGACAGACGGUGAUAAGCAAAAAUCAUGGUUGUAAGUGAAGGCAGGAGGGGUUGAUAAUGAUGCCAGGAGUUUCAUCAAUGUAGUAUGAUUGAAUAUGAUGAUGAUGUACGUUGUAUAUAUGUGUAUUUAUACAUCUAUAUUUGUCAGAUUUUUGCAUAUAUAAGUUAAUGAUUUCUGAUAUACAAAUGAAUGAUUUUUGUAGUUAAGAAUAGUGAUGAAAAACUGGCCAGGGACUAGUUUCUAGUUUCUAUACUAAUUUAGUUUCUAAUGGAGUAAGCCCCUAUAUAUAUAUAUCCUCUAAAUUUGAUAAGAUCCGCUCCAGUUGAUUUUCACCUUAAUUGUUAUUUGAACAAGUCAAUGCAUUAUGUGCUUUUAAACAAUUAUGUUCAAUAAUAAAUAAUAUAAGAAGUAUGAUAUAUAAGUUCCUCCAUUAUCUUACGAAAAAAGUUAUAAAAAUUUAAAUCAACUUGAUAAGUAAAACUUAAAUCAAUUCCGAUAAGUGUUUUCUAAGAAACCAUAGCAUUACUUUUUGUUGACAUAUAUAAUACCGGAAGUCAUGUAUGCUUUGCCACAGCAGCAAGUGCAUGCAAAGCGAAAUGUUGGUGAUCAAGCUCAUGCAUAAAUCGUUAUUGCAGAUUUCCUAGUUUAGUCUGAACUCUGAAGUUUAAUAUAUUAAUACACAGAUAUGAGAUUGUGAUAAUUGUGUUCAUGGUUGCGCAUCAUCUGUUGAUUUUGUAGGUGACAAAUUGAUGCCUUGAGGAGAUUUGCUACAUUUCUCAUUAUAUACCAUUAUAUUGUCAGUACCCAUGCCCAUCCAAAACACAAUGUCACCUCAUAUCAUUCCCUUUAGAUUUCCCAUCUCUGAAGGGAUACUUCAAUCAAGAUUGUCUAGUGAGCCAAUUAGAGAGUUGUUACAUAGACUCAGAACUUGAAGUUCAGAUAAUUGGGAAAUAUAUUCUGGGAAAUUUACCAGUAAUGUUGUUGUCAUGGAAAUCAAGAUAUUCAUGAUUUGUCAGAUUUGUUAGGCCCUCAGGCAGCUUGCCAGAAAGCUUAUUUUCCCCUAGUGCAAGGAUACCUGUUAGUGUGGAAAAUGACACAGGAUGAGAGAUCUACAUAAUAAAGUAAGCCAAGAGAAUUAAAAACUGGAAACAGACUUUGGAAUGAGCCCAAAUUUGUUUCCAGAAAGCAUUAGUACCUUAAGUUUCUUAGCUUGACCUAUAUUUCCUGGCAACUCCCCAUCGAAAUCGUUUCUUCAGAGAGCCAAUAAUGAUAAGUUUAAAGAUUUGAAUAGACAAGAAGGAAUUGAACCAGUAAGGUUGUUAUCUGACAGUAGUAAACUUCCAACAUCCAUCUCAGCAAGCCAUUGCGGAAAUCGCUUCCUGUGAGCUGAUUGUGACUCAGGUCGAGAAUAUCAAGAUUCUUAAUUGUGGAAAUUCAUUCUGGAAUGUCUCCUUCAAUUUUGCAAGAUCUUAGAGACAUUUGAGGAAGCAUACACUUUGGAUUUAUAUUAACAUUGUUUUUCCAAAUCAUCUUAUUUCUUCGAAUGUAUAUAUUCUUCAAACUCUCUAUCUCAGAUAGCCAGGAGGGUAUUUCUCCAGAAAGCAUAUUAUCUUCAAGCAUAAGUGUAUCAAACUUGCUCAUGUUUCGUAAAGAUCAUGGGAUUACACCUGAGAAACUGUUUUUGCUCAAUGCCAAAGUGGAAAUGUUUAACAAGCUUCCAAUCUCACUUGGUAUCUGCAUCCGUAAAUUAUUAUCCCUCAAAUCCAAGCUUUCUAACCCCGUCAAAUUCAGAAUUGAAUCAGGAAUUGGUCCCGAAAAUUUAUUCUGGUUGAUAGAAAGUUGCUGCAACUUUGUGAGAUUCCCAAUCCGUACUGGAAUAUUUCCAUCAAGAAAAUUCUUAUCCAACUUCAAUGUCCUCAAAUCUGCAAGCUUUCCAACUUCGCGACUUAAAUCACCCUUUAACGAAUUUCCACUUAAAUCAAGAACCUGCAGAAACCUUAAGUUGAAUAGUUCUGCAGGAAUGGAGCCAUUAAAUUUGUUUCUACUCAUGUCAAGGUGAACUAAUCUAGUAAGAUUAGCCAACUUUUCUCCUGAAAUGUCCCCUCCUAUACCAUUAAAGGAGAUAUUAAGGAUCAUCAAGGAUCUGAUGCUGUAAAUGUGGUCAAACAUUCUUGGAUUUGCCACACCAUUGAAGUCCAAAUAAGGCCCGCUGAUGCUGUCCAGGUGCAGAGCUAUUAUCUCACUCGAAUUUGAACUGCAAACAACUCGUUUCCAAUCACAGCAAUCACAACUCGUUUUCAAACUUAGUGGAUUGGCCAUUAUUUUUUUUACUUAAUUUUGUGAAGUGGAGUUGGGUAUUACUGAAGAUAAGCACAUGUUUCUCCAAACUCCAGAGUGCAUAAAAAUGGAAAGGCUGAGUAAUUUUAUCAUAUUAGCCAUGUGUAUAAUUUCAAACUUUUUUUUUGAAUGUAGAAUUAUUGGUCAUCUUGAACUUAUAUUAUUUAUUAAAGCGCACCCAUACCACAUUGGAAGAUGCUCUCUAUUGACACUUUUGAGGCAUCUAAAGAAACAAGAUAAAGAUAAGUAAAUUUCAAGAAUCAAGAUGCCACAAAAUUAAGAUAGAGUGUGAUUUCUUAAGUCUUAAGUGCUUUUAGUCACAAAUUUGUCAUACAUUCGACUGGGUUGGUUAAUAAUUAGCACACACGAAAUUGUGCCAUGGUUUUGAACAACAGUGAAUAAACGAGUUUACAAUAUCUAAAUUAUAUACAUUAAGGAGGGACUUAACUGGUUGAAUUAUGUACAUUAUCAUUAUAAUACGCCUAAACAAUGCAUUCAUAUUUGAUAUAAAAUUUUGUUUACUUCUUAAAUAACCCUCGUUGUUUUUGUGUAACACAUCGCCAAUACUUUUUAAGACAAAAACGCUUCAAAAAAAUUUGAAAAUAUGAUAAGUAAUUUCCUCCAUUAUCUUAAAAUAAAGAUUAAAAAAACUAAAAUCAACUCCUAAGCGUGUUUUUAAGAGAUCGUAUGAUAUGAAUUACACUCCAUUUCAUCAAUUUUAUAACGAUAUAUAAUAUCUAAAGUCAUGUAUACAGUAUACUCAUGCAAAGCGAAAUGUUAGAAAACACAGUUAUACAUCAUGCUCAUGCAUAAUUCGUUAGUGAAGAUUUCCAGAAUAGAGUCUGAAGUACGAUAUAUUAGCCCUAAGUACCCUACAAGAGGAGAAGUUGAGAAAUUAUAUAGUCCGUGUGAUUGCUAUUUGCUCUGUCCAUGUAAUUGAGAAAUUAACAGUUUUGUAUGUGUUGACCAAAGCCGAUACCAAAACCGAGCAAAAUCUUAGGCAGACUGAUCGAUUGAAUUAUCAGCUUUCUGAGGAAUAUUUCCAAGAAUGAGGUCACUCACCAACCUAAAAUUGAAAUACAUUAUCAAUAGCGAUAUUUCUAAGUCAAUUAUCUACUACCAAUUUAACCUGUGUGUUUUUCCUAAUAGUGCACAUUGUAGAAAUUUUUUGAAAAUUAAUUAAGACAAACAAGUCUUUUUCUUUCGAAAUAAAGAUGAAAAAAACUCAUGUAUUGUUACCUUAAACUACCUAUAAAUCCUAAUGGUAUUUCUUAAACUAGGAAUGUUGAUUGAUAUUCUGUUCUUUUUUAGUAUAAUGGAAAAUCAAAACAAAUUGCUACUCCAAUAUUUAUAUUAAAAUAUAAAUAAUAUGAAAAAUAUGAUAUAUAAUUUCCUCCAUUAUCUUACAAAGAUAAAAACAAAUUAUCAUGCAACUGUUUUUCGAGAAUCACAGCAUUAAUCCUUUUUAAGAUAUAUUCCUUUUUUAAGAUAUAUAAUAUCAUAAGUCAUGUAUACUUUGUCAAUGCAGCAUGCAGAACGAAUGUUAUUGUUCUUGCUCAUGCAUAAUUAGUUCUUGUAAAUUUCUUAGUUUAUUCUCAAGUAGAGAUGAGAUUAUGAGAAUCAUGUAGGUGUUCAUGGUCGCUUAUCAUCUAUCGAUUUUGUAAGUUGACAAAUUGACACUAAGGAUCAACCUUUCUUCUGAAAUGUCCCCUUUUUUACCAUAUAGGAGAUACUAUUAAUUAAGAAUCAUCGAGAACCUAAUGCUGUAGAUGUGGCCAGAGAUUCUUCGAUUUGCCACACUAUUGAAUUUUAAAUAAGGCCUGAUGAUGUUGUUAAGGUCGAUUACUGUUAAGAUAUACCAAAUUAUGUUUUCAAACUUUUUUCCCAUCAUAGAAAUAUAUGGUUUAUGUGCAUAUAUACCAGAUUUUAUUAUCAAUAUGGGUGAAACAAUCAUAUACGAUUUGACAAAAAAAUAGAGUAAAUCACACUUUGCACCUGUAACUUUGGGGUGUUUUGCGAUUUGAUCUCAUUGUUUAAAAUUUUACACGUUGCACUCAUAAGUUUUUAAUCUGUAACGUUUUGCACCCACUUAACAUUUUCCAUCCAAAUUACUGUUAAGUCUAACAGAAAGGAGGGGUAGUUUGGGAAAGAACAUGCAUAAGUGAGGGAUAUGUGUAUUAUUCAAAAAAUGAGAUUUAAUUAAAGAUUAGUAAAACCAGGCGCGACUCAGAUAACGCUGCUUUAAGAUGUUUAGCUCACUAGGGUUUUUUUGUCUCCUUUUUUAUAGAUAAACCCUGUAUCUCCACAUUUGUGUGCGCUCGUUGUCAAUUCUUACACCAAUAAAUUUCAAUAAUUCUCGAAUAUCAUGUGAGUGUAAAUUAUAGGAUCGUUAGCUAAAUUUUAUUUGUUUUUAUAUUUUAUUGGUUAAUAUUUCAAAUUUUCAAAAACCAUUAUAUGAUAAAAUAGACUUUAAACAUUUAAUAAAUUUGUUUGGUUUUAUAUAUUUUGGUUAAAUAUAUGUAUUUAAUAGAUUUUAAAUAUAGGGAUAUGUAAGAAUAAAUAUAAUUUGAUGAGAAUGUUUUUUUUAAUAUAAUAAAAAUAUCUAUUUAACAUGUUUUAUUAGAAAGUAUCCAUUUAACAUGUUUUAUUUGAAAGUAUCCAUUUAGCAUGUUGAAUCAGUUUUUCAUAAUUUUUAACAAAUAUUUAAAGUAUCCAUUAGUUUCUUUAUUUAAAUGUGAACAUAUAUUAUUAGUUUGAAUAAUAUUUAUUAGAUAGUAUAAUAAGAUAUUUAUUUAUUUACAAAUUUAUUUAGAAAAUAUUAUGAUACCACCGUGAAGCGCGGUUUAUAAAUUAGUUAUUAUUUUAAUAAUAAUUUUGAAUUGAAGGAAAAAGGGGGGGGGAUAAAGAAAAAAGGAGGGAGUUGAAUUUUUAAUUCAUAAAUAUUAAAUAGGUAAUUGUUAUAGGUUACCAAAAAAAGCUCAUGGCUAGAAAAUUUGAGGAUGUAUUAGUGAUUUUGGUAAUUACUACGAUAGUGUUGGAGCACCUAUUUUUUUAUACAUUACCUAAAUGUGAGUUUAUAAAAAGGUCGCAAUUGUUUCUUGUAUAGUUUUAUAAUGCGUGGUUCGGUAUCUUCAUAUUUAUUAAAUGUUCAAGAUCUAUUUUAACAAAAAAACUACAUAUAAUUCUUACAUAUCUCUAUAUUCAAAAUAAAAUAAAUAUUAAAAUAUAUUUUAUAAAAUUCUUAUAAUCUUGGCUGUGAUUUAUAAUAUUUAUUUGUUAUUUUAUAAAAUAUGUUUUACUAUUUAUUUUAUUUUUGGUUUAAAAGGUAAUACAUCUCUUUCUAUGCCUCCUUUGUUGUUUUUCUCAGCUGCUCUUUGUGUCACGGUAUUUAAAUUCUACUUACCACUUGUUCAAGCAUGUGAUUGUAAAUUGGAAAGCCAGUGGUCAUUACUUCAUGGGGGUUAGGUGUCUCUGGGAUUAUUGAACAUUUUAGAUAUGUUGCAUAUAUUAUGGCAGGUUUUGAUUGGCUGUGGCCUGUGGGACUCUAGUUUAGAUUAAGUCGGUUNCCUGUGGGACUCUAGUUUAGAUUAAGUCGGUUAGCAUGCUAAACUAAUGUAAGGCCCUCCGUUGCAUCUUUGUUUUCCCAAACUGCCCCUGCCUUCUGUUACACUUAACGGUAGUUUGGAUGGAAAAUGUUAAGUGGGUGCAACAUGUUAUAAAUUAAAAACUUAUGAGUGCAACCUGCAAAAUUUUAAACAAUGAGACCAAAUCGCAAAACACCCCAAAGUUAUAGGUGCAAAAUGUGAUUUACUCCAAAAAAAUAUCAAACACUUUUUAGUUAUAUAGUUGGAAGAUGAUUUCCAGGGCAUGGAAAGAGUAAAUUUUAAUAAUGAAGAUAGGAUCUCUACACCAUCACGAUAGAGUAUCAUUAAUUUGACUGAUGUUUUCUCAAAUUCUUACUUUAACCCGCUAAUCCAAUUAUUAAUCUAAUUAUUAAUUAUAAAUACCCGCACACGCACUUUGAAAAUAUGAUAUAUAGUUUCCUCUCUUAUCUUAAACUAGUUGAAAAUAUGAUAUAUAGUUUCCUCCCUUAUCUUAAACUAAAGAUAAUAAAAAUUAUAAAACAAGUACUCCUAAACGUGUUUUUUCCGAGAUCAUAUAAUUUAAAAUCUGACUCCAUUUCACCUAUUUUGUAAAAUAUAAAAUAUUAUGCUUCAUGCAAAAUGAUAUGUUAAUAAACACAGCUCACCCUCAUGCAUUAUUCGUUAGUGAAGAUUUCUGAAUAGAGUUGAGGAAUGAUACUCCCUCCGUCCCAUCAGGAUGUUUACGUUCACUGUUUGCACGCAUUUUGAGCCUCUUAUAAAGUAUAGUUCAAAAAUGUUUUUUUAUUUUUUUUCUUUUUUUGAAUAAAAGUUUAAACGUCAAACUUUUUUUCAAGUUUUUUUUUAAAAAUAAAUAUAUAACUAGCUUUUCUUGCACGCGCUCCGCGCACGGGUGUCUUGAUAUUGUAGUUUUUUUUUGGCGUUGUGAAAUAAUUUUUAUGAUUAAGAACAUAAAAUCAAACCAUCAAACUGUCCCAAAUGAAAAAUUAAAUUAAAUAAAAAUAAAAUGCCAUUUGAAAUCAACAUAAUCAGGAUGAAAAGCUCAUAGUCUAUAAAGAAUUUGAGAAUAAUCUCAAAUACUUUAUUACAUUAUUGUUUCAUAAAAAUCUAAAUAUUGUAGUACGAUUAUUCAGCUAUCUUGGAGAUGUUAUAAUCAGAGAGCUAGCAGUGAUACAUAUUUAUCACGAUCAAGCCUAGAACGGCAUAAAACAUUUAUUGAUUAUUCUCAUAUUGUUUUGAAAUCAAAUAUACAAUUAUAUGAUUCCGUGUGAAUGAUGAGCAAAUUAAAUAAAUAUCUAUGUCUCAUGCUAUAUACCAUACUCAAUCUUGGAUUAACAUAAACUUUCGAUGCCGGUGUGUUGAUAUAAAUUGUCACCAAAUAGAUUUGGGAAUUAAAUGUAUUUAGAUGUGUAUAUGAUUGAGCCGGGUGAAAAUUUUGAUUCAACCUUCACACAUUUGAACCUUCAUAUUUACUUGCUAGAACCAAGAUUACCAGUGUUUCUAAAUCGUCUUGAUAUAUAUGAAUCGCAGAUAUAACUUGAUAUCUAAAGGUUGAUGCAGUAAUUGAACAAUAUAUUUCAUAGGAAUAUAAUCUGCAAAUAUGUGAUAUACUAAAAUGGAAGAUUACACAUGGAUUAGCAAACUUCGUUCAAAGAAUCCAGAUGAAUAUACUUCAUCCAUGAUAUGAAAACAUCAGACUUACCACUCAUCGUUUCUUCAUGCAUCAUAUUUGUAUUAGUCUUGCAAUUCUCAUUUUCAGUAAGUUAGACCGUAAGCCCUUACUCCGGAGGUACUUGAAGAAACAAUUUCGCAACCAGGUGGUUUAGUAUUCUUUCGUGUUCUUCCUUUCUUCAAUGAGAGUACAGACGAAUUUUUCCAUUCUUCAUAUUGAUUAUCAGCCAAAAAAUUUAGGCAUGUUGUUCUAUGUAUUGGUCAGAAUACAUGGUUUGUAUUUCAUCAAGCAUUAAGAGAUGACAAUUAAAAAACACUGAUUAGUUCUCAAUUGAAUACAAAUGCUAUAAUGUAUGCAUAAAUUAAGGGAUAGUCAACGUAGAAUUAUAAUUAAUUAACUUCACUUGACUUAAAUAUAAUCUUUCUUAAAAUAUAUAUAAUAUAUGUUUUUUAUUAAAAAUAUAUAACGAUAUCAUCUUUACACUUCAUUUGAUUAAUAGUUAAAUAAAACAAAGACGUCUUUAAUGACGAAGUAAACUAACGAAGUAAACUAAUUAUAUCAUUGUUAAUUAUAUAUGUUACAUAAAUGAAUAAGAUGUUAAAUCAAUAAAUUUGAAUCACGGAUUAUAAUUUAUAUACUGAGAUUUCAUACCGCAUUAAAAUUUAAAAUUUGCAACGGAUAACCUAUACUUAAUUCAAUCUAAAUGUUUCCUAAAUUUAAGGGAUACACUAUAUUUAAAUUUACAUGGUAUACUUUAAUUUUUAAAGUAAUAUCAUACAAAAAAUCUUCUAGUGUCUUUAGAAAGUCUUUUCAUAUUUAAUUCGAAAGAGUAAGAAGUUAAUAAUUACAGUCAAAAAUAGAAAAAUGUACGUAUAUAUACAUGUAGAUGUGAAAUAAAUUAAAUUAAUCUAAGAUAAGAAAAUUAUUAUUUGAAAAUAUUUUAAAUAAAUUUUAAUUUUAAAUGCAUAAUCCAUUUUAAUGGAUUAUCCAUUUGAUAAAUCUAUAUAUUCUUAAUGAAAUAAAUUUAACAAAAAACAAUAGUUAAAUCAUAAUUUUUCAAAGUAUGACAUAUUUAAUGGUGUAUUAAUACCUUUUCUUUUUUAUAUAAUCUUAUGAAAAUAUUUUAACUAUGUUUUAUUUUUAAAUAUUUUAAGACAAGACAAUUAGUAGUUUAAGAGUUAAACGUCUUCAAUUUUUUGAAGUUUUAAUGCAAUAUCAUAUAAAAAAUUUCUAGAGUGCUUAAAAAUCUAUAAAUGAAUACAUAUCAUAAUUUAGUUACAUUACAAAAAUUAUAUGCUACAAUUAUUGCUUAUAUUGAAAAUUGAUAAUAAGAAGAUAUGCGUGAUAAAUAUCUAUAAUAGAAUAGAUUCUGUAUUGAUUUUAUAACGGAAUAGAUUUUUCAUUAGUAUAAUUAAUAUAACCAAAUAUUUAAUAUAACAAUAAUAUUUAUGUUUGGAAUAAAAAUUUAUGUUUGGAAUAGAUUUAAAAUUGUAUAUAAUGAACUCGGAAACACAAAAAUUAAAUACAAAGGUAUUUUAGUAAUGGGAAAAUUAAUUUAAAGGUCCCUGAACUAUUGGUGUUUUAUUGUCUGGGUCCCUGAAAUAAAGAUUCCAAUAUCCGGGUCACUUACGUUUUCAAUUUUCUUGUUUGAGUCCUUCUGUUAACUGAGAUUCUAACGGACGUUAGAAUCUUGAUGACGUGGCAUAAUUGUUGACACUUGUAUAUGAAUUUUAUUUUAAAGGUCCUUGAACUAUUAGUAAUUUUCUCACUUGAGUCCUUUCAUUGAUUUAUAAUUUAUACUUAUGUUUUAAGAUAUUAACAUUUAAUUGGCUCAGAAGGUAUUCAAUCUUUAGUACAACUUAAAUUUUUUAAUUCAUAAUUAUUUAAGACGUCUAAUAGAUAAUAUUAUGUGUAACACUAAUUGGAAUUCUUGUAAAAUUAAUAUUGAUAGUUAUUUAACAAAUUAAUAUUGAAUUGUAACAAAACUUUUUAAGUUAAAUAAAUUCAAAACUGAUUUGUUAUUAGAUUUUUUGACAAUUUCUUGUGAGAUUUUUUUUUACAAUAUGACUAUAACCUUUGCGUUUUUUUAAAAGAACAUUUGCGUUUGUUAUGACAAUGUUCUUGGUAAGUCUGUUUGACAUGUCAUUUAUUAUGUGAUAAAAAAAACUAAUACACAAUAAAUUAAGAUACAUAGAAACAAGAGUUAAAACAUUAAUAUAACACACUAAAAUAAACAUUAACAUAUUUAUUAAUAUAACACGAUAAAUAUAUUAAUGUUUAAUUUACACAAUAAAUAUAUUAAUUUUUAUUAGUUAAUUAAUUAUUUAAUUAAUAUAUAUAUAUAUAUAUAUAUAUAUAUAUAUAUACACGAAAUAAAAAAUUACGAAUUAAAAAACUUAAGUUGCACUAAAGAUUGAAUACCUUCUAAGUCGAUUAAAUGUUAGUAUCUUAAUACAUUAUAAAUUUUAAAUCAAUGAAAAGACUCAAACAAGAAAAUUACUAAUAGUUCAGGGACCUUUAAAAUAAAAUUCAUACACACGUGUCAAUAAUUCUGCCACGUCAUCGAGAUUCUAACGUCCGUUAGAAUCUCAGUUAACGGAAGGACCCAAACAAGAAAACUGAAAACAUAAGUGACCCGAAUAUUGGAAUCUUUAUUUCAGGGACCCAGACAAUAAAACACCAAUAGUUCAGGGACCUUUAAAUUAAUUCCCAUUAACUAUAUCACUAAACUAUAUUAAGUAUAUCACUAAAAUAUAUUAAGUAUAUCACUAAAGUAUAUCAACUAAGAUCACUAAAAUACAACUGCUUAGUAUAAAUUUGGGAAUAUACUUCUUGUUAAAUAGUAUAUUUUACAUGUAUUUGCAAGUUUUAUGAUUUUGCAGGUUACAUAGUUCAAUGCAGAAGAAGUUCAAGACUUCGUGCACAUAGUUUGUCAAAGUUUACAAACACUGCAGAUACUUUGAAAAUUGAAUAUAGUGAAUAUGGAAACAACUACAUAUUAUAAAAAAAAGGAUUAAUGCAAAAAUUAUUGUAAAUCAAUAUUUUAACUACUUUUCCCUAUUUACAUAUGAGUUAUAGCAGACUAAAUUCAUGUAUCUGGACGAAAAUUGCGUCAUAUUCAUUUUCGGUGGUUCUUGUCAAACAACAAUGACACACAAUAAGAUGUAAACAAAAAGUCUAGAUCAAUAAGCAGAUGUUGAGGAAAAGUGAAUAUAAAUCUUCACACGAUGAGCAUCCGAUAGUGGCCUGGACGAAUCAUCUCUAUUCAGUAGCAGCAAGGAAAACUUAAUAACAAAAAGUGGCUCAAUAAAUGCAUUAGAGGACAUAUAUGCACCAUAAUCACUAUCAAUAUGAAAGGAAAUUAUGCAAAAAUAAUGUAAAAAAUUAAUUAAAAAUUAUCUUAUCAUCUAUACAACAUAAAAAAAACUCAAAAACUGAAAGAGAAAUACAAAAUAGAGAACAUACACCAAUGUUAAGGCACAAUCCCAUAUGUGAAGGUCGUAUACUUUUAUAAAAGCCUCUCUAGAUUUCCAAACUUUCACUCAGUGGCUGCAUUAAUCCAAUAUCAGGUGAAUCAAAUGAGCGCCCCACAUGAGAAUACCUAUUAAAUAACAGACACAAACUUAUUACAAAUUGUUGUAUAUCACACAAAUGAUUCUGCAUGAAGACGUUAACAACAAUACAAUCACGUCCAAGACUUUAUAGAAAUCAAGACCGAGAGUAUUGUAUCUUGAAAAUUAAUGCGUAUGGAAACUUUACUCUAGUGCGGAAAUCAAUUAUGAAAUUAUCUUGUAAUACUUGAAGUCUUGAACCGAUUUCGCUCUAAGAUCUUCAUUCAUUUCUUUUAACAUUAAUCUGAAACACAAAUAGAGUUUGAAGAGAUUAACUUGUUAUGAAUAAAAAAUAUAUUAAAUGAAUCAAACAACACAAAGAACAAACAAGUUAGUUUAGGCAUUCUAACAAACAUUUUAUGAUUUAUCUAAUCAUACUCACCAUAAAUCAGAAAUCAUACAUGACAAACUAUAACAAAAUUAAAAUAAAUUAAAUCCAGAAGAAUUAAAAGACAAAACACUAAGAUUACUUUUUGCAAAACACAAACCUCGACACGAAGAGUUAAAAAUUAUGUUCAAAAAAUAAUCCCUAAGUUCUAUAUCACAACACAAAUCUUUCAUUUGCACAAAAGUGUUCGAACCUUUUCUCAAAUUCCUGGAACAUGAAAUCAAUAGAAAUUGUGAGGACGGAUCUCUCAGCUUUUCUCUGUAGCAAACUAUCAAACACGUUAAAUACAAAAUCAUGUACUGAUUAUGAUACCGGCAGCGUUCAAACAACAAACUUCAGAAACCGUUCAACAAUAAUAAAAUGAACAAAUAUACACAAUGGAGCAAAUAUUGUAAAUUAAACUGGAAAUAGUGCAAUUCUAUUUCACGACCAAUGGUAUUAUUCUCUUUUUGACUUCGAGAUGUCAUCCCUUGUCGAAGUAUCGUCGCCAGAGGACUUUGACGGAUACUACCUGAUGCAUACACGGAUCAACGCGAUUUGUGCAAGAUAAGUAGAAUUCUAUUAUACAAUACAGUAAAUAAGCGUAAAGCAAAGUCUGUAGAUAGAGAAAUGAAUGUGUAAAAAAGCCAAGAUCAGUAGUACUGCAGCAAAAUCCGACCGAGGACACAAAUCAGUUCGAAAGCUAAGCAAGAAAACAUACCCGUCACGAUUAGAGGCGUGGAAGAAAUAAUGGUUUCGAAUGUGAAAUUCAAAUUAUCUGCUUUGAUCUGAUAAGAAUAUCAUAUGCAAAUAAGUAGCAAAGAUUAAAUCUGAACUGAUGUCGUGAUCAGUGGCACGAUUCAAGGAUGCAUGAUUAAUGCUAUUUUGAAAUUCUGAUCUUGAUACCAUGAUGAUCGUGAUAUGAUUUGAAUGUGCUCUCAGAUCCAACGAUACUCGGGUCGGGUUUCUUGAAGAUCCGAAAUGUUUCAUCGUAGUGUUAAUUUGAAUAAGGAAGAUGCUGGGUCGAAUCGGAAGCUUGAUGGGUUGAUCCAAGAGCCUGUGAAACUACCAUAUCAUCCUUAAAAAAUUUGAUUUGAUGAAACAAAGUACAACCUAUCCAGUAGCCAAAUAAUAUCAUAUUAAAAAGAAUGAUUUGAUUUUGAAUUUAGAAAUAAUGAUGAUUAGCAUUGAUUUUGAAUCAAUGCUGACUUGAUAGUUAAGACAAUAAAAGCAAGAUUGCAUGCAUAAUUUGUGGGACUGUCCAAAACUUGACAUAUAUGAAUCAGUUGAUUAGAUGGCACUGCAUAUGUGGCAUAAUUAAAAUAUGUGGCUUUAUGAUGUGGCAUUUAUGAAUUACGUGGAUUUCUUGACGUGGCAUCGUUCGGGAAUUAUGAUAUACAUAGAUGUUCCACCCGAAGUGGAGUUUCUUUUUUUGAAUAAAAGUUUAAACGUCAAACUUUUUUUCAAGUUUUUUUAAAAAUAAAUAUAUAAUGUUCCACCCGAAGUGGAGUUAAUAAACUGGUUAAUUGGCUUCUCCAUGUUGAACAAUGUUUGUCUCAAUGUUCAUCAAGGAUUUGGCAGGUUUGCAAAAGUGGAUCUUAUCUAUUUGUAUUCGGAAGGUCCGAAUAGAUUUAAGAUCUGAAAAAUUUCUCGGACAAUGACAAUUGUAAGUUAUGUUGUUCUAGAUGUAGUAAUUUAUAGAAAUCUUUUAUUCAUUGAGACACCUUUUCUUUGAGUAUUAUAAAUUUAAGAUGCUAUUAUGCUAAAUUAACUAUGUUUCCAUUAUUCAAGCCUUUCUUGUGAUUUUGUUGUCUUUUGAGAGAUUUAUAUCUCUUAAGUAUAGACUGAAAUGAAUAUCUUUAUUAUUGUUAUGUUUUCAUUUUCAAUAAAAAUAAGAAUUUCAGCUUGUUUGCAAAUUAUAUCUACGAAAUAAAAUUUUAAUAUUCUAGAUGCAAAAUUACAAUGUAAUUGAAUUAAGUUCAUUAUUUUGCUUAUUUUAGUUUGGGUUCAAUGUUAUAUAUAAUUAUUGUUGUUGCAAACAAUGAUACCAAACAUAUUCUUCUGGCUACUCCAUUCAGAAUUACAAUAAUAUUGUUUUCCUCAUCAACUAAAAUCCUGGGUGUCAACUACAAUACGAUCAGUUUAAAACUUUAUUGUAUAUAUGCUCAUUGUAUCUACUUUCACAGAGACACCAAUAUAAUAUAUUUCAUUGCAUCAAACAUGCUAACCUUGAAUUGCUAAUAAAGAGAGCAUCGUGACCAUUUAGACCUAGCGAAAAAAGGAUAUAUUAGUCAACUCGAUCCAUUAUCUUCUACUACUUAUAUAUAUCAAGCACGCUUGUCAAGAUGAAUAAUCUGGACACUUUUAUUUAUUUAAUAUAUAUAUAUGUAUAUAUAUAUAUAUAUAUAUAUACACGAAAUAAAAAAUUACGAAUUAAAAAACUUAAGUUGCACUAAAGAUUGAAUACCUUCUAAGUCGAUUAAAUGUUAGUAUCUUAAUACAUUAUAAAUUUUAAAUCAAUGAAAAGACUCAAACAAGAAAAUUACUAAUAGUUCAGGGACCUUUAAAAUAAAAUUCAUACACACGUGUCAAUAAUUCUGCCACGUCAUCGAGAUUCUAACGUCCGUUAGAAUCUCAGUUAACGGAAGGACCCAAACAAGAAAACUGAAAACAUAAGUGACCCGAAUAUUGGAAUCUUUAUUUCAGGGACCCAGACAAUAAAACACCAAUAGUUCAGGGACCUUUAAAUUAAUUUUCCCUUUUAGUAAUUAAUGUCAAAAUCAGUGGAAAUUAAAUAAAGUCUGACUUCCCUAUUUGCAUAUGAACUAUAACAGUUUAGAUCCAUGUAUCAUAAUAUUUUAAAAUCAAAUAUAUAAAAACUUCCUUAUCAAGAGCUAAAAUUGUGGAGUGAAAAAGGACUCCAUUAAUUUGAAAUUAUAACAAAAAGCAUAGAUUUGAAAAUUGAAUAUAGUGAAUAUGGAAACAACUACAUAUUAUAAAAAAAAGGAUUAAUGCAAAAAUUAUUGUAAAUCAAUAUUUUAACUACUUUUCCCUAUUUACAUAUGAGUUAUAGCAGACUAAAUUCAUGUAUCUGGACGAAAAUUGCGUCAUAUUCAUUUUCGGUGGUUCUUGUCAAACAACAAUGACACACAAUAAGAUGUAAACAAAAAGUCUAGAUCAAUAAGCAGAUGUUGAGGAAAAGUGAAUAUAAAUCUUCACACGAUGAGCAUCCGAUAGUGGCCUGGACGAAUCAUCUCUAUUCAGUAGCAGCAAGGAAAACUUAAUAACAAAAAGUGGCUCAAUAAAUGCAUUAGAGGACAUAUAUGCACCAUAAUCACUAUCAAUAUGAAAGGAAAUUAUGCAAAAAUAAUGUAAAAAAUUAAUUAAAAAUUAUCUUAUCAUCUAUACAACAUAAAAAAAACUCAAAAACUGAAAGAGAAAUACAAAAUAGAGAACAUACACCAAUGUUAAGGCACAAUCCCAUAUGUGAAGGUCGUAUACUUUUAUAAAAGCCUCUCUAGAUUUCCAAACUUUCACUCAGUGGCUGCAUUAAUCCAAUAUCAGGUGAAUCAAAUGAGCGCCCCACAUGAGAAUACCUAUUAAAUAACAGACACAAACUUAUUACAAAUUGUUGUAUAUCACACAAAUGAUUCUGCAUGAAGACGUUAACAACAAUACAAUCACGUCCAAGACUUUAUAGAAAUCAAGACCGAGAGUAUUGUAUCUUGAAAAUUAAUGCGUAUGGAAACUUUACUCUAGUGCGGAAAUCAAUUAUGAAAUUAUCUUGUAAUACUUGAAGUCUUGAACCGAUUUCGCUCUAAGAUCUUCAUUCAUUUCUUUUAACAUUAAUCUGAAACACAAAUAGAGUUUGAAGAGAUUAACUUGUUAUGAAUAAAAAAUAUAUUAAAUGAAUCAAACAACACAAAGAACAAACAAGUUAGUUUAGGCAUUCUAACAAACAUUUUAUGAUUUAUCUAAUCAUACUCACCAUAAAUCAGAAAUCAUACAUGACAAACUAUAACAAAAUUAAAAUAAAUUAAAUCCAGAAGAAUUAAAAGACAAAACACUAAGAUUACUUUUUGCAAAACACAAACCUCGACACGAAGAGUUAAAAAUUAUGUUCAAAAAAUAAUCCCUAAGUUCUAUAUCACAACACAAAUCUUUCAUUUGCACAAAAGUGUUCGAACCUUUUCUCAAAUUCCUGGAACAUGAAAUCAAUAGAAAUUGUGAGGACGGAUCUCUCAGCUUUUCUCUGUAGCAAACUAUCAAACACGUUAAAUACAAAAUCAUGUACUGAUUAUGAUACCGGCAGCGUUCAAACAACAAACUUCAGAAACCGUUCAACAAUAAUAAAAUGAACAAAUAUACACAAUGGAGCAAAUAUUGUAAAUUAAACUGGAAAUAGUGCAAUUCUAUUUCACGACCAAUGGUAUUAUUCUCUUUUUGACUUCGAGAUGUCAUCCCUUGUCGAAGUAUCGUCGCCAGAGGACUUUGACGGAUACUACCUGAUGCAUACACGGAUCAACGCGAUUUGUGCAAGAUAAGUAGAAUUCUAUUAUACAAUACAGUAAAUAAGCGUAAAGCAAAGUCUGUAGAUAGAGAAAUGAAUGUGUAAAAAAGCCAAGAUCAGUAGUACUGCAGCAAAAUCCGACCGAGGACACAAAUCAGUUCGAAAGCUAAGCAAGAAAACAUACCCGUCACGAUUAGAGGCGUGGAAGAAAUAAUGGUUUCGAAUGUGAAAUUCAAAUUAUCUGCUUUGAUCUGAUAAGAAUAUCAUAUGCAAAUAAGUAGCAAAGAUUAAAUCUGAACUGAUGUCGUGAUCAGUGGCACGAUUCAAGGAUGCAUGAUUAAUGCUAUUUUGAAAUUCUGAUCUUGAUACCAUGAUGAUCGUGAUAUGAUUUGAAUGUGCUCUCAGAUCCAACGAUACUCGGGUCGGGUUUCUUGAAGAUCCGAAAUGUUUCAUCGUAGUGUUAAUUUGAAUAAGGAAGAUGCUGGGUCGAAUCGGAAGCUUGAUGGGUUGAUCCAAGAGCCUGUGAAACUACCAUAUCAUCCUUAAAAAAUUUGAUUUGAUGAAACAAAGUACAACCUAUCCAGUAGCCAAAUAAUAUCAUAUUAAAAAGAAUGAUUUGAUUUUGAAUUUAGAAAUAAUGAUGAUUAGCAUUGAUUUUGAAUCAAUGCUGACUUGAUAGUUAAGACAAUAAAAGCAAGAUUGCAUGCAUAAUUUGUGGGACUGUCCAAAACUUGACAUAUAUGAAUCAGUUGAUUAGAUGGCACUGCAUAUGUGGCAUAAUUAAAAUAUGUGGCUUUAUGAUGUGGCAUUUAUGAAUUACGUGGAUUUCUUGACGUGGCAUCGUUCGGGAAUUAUGAUAUACAUAGAUGUUCCACCCGAAGUGGAGUUUCUUUUUUUGAAUAAAAGUUUAAACGUCAAACUUUUUUUCAAGUUUUUUUAAAAAUAAAUAUAUAAUGUUCCACCCGAAGUGGAGUUAAUAAACUGGUUAAUUGGCUUCUCCAUGUUGAACAAUGUUUGUCUCAAUGUUCAUCAAGGAUUUGGCAGGUUUGCAAAAGUGGAUCUUAUCUAUUUGUAUUCGGAAGGUCCGAAUAGAUUUAAGAUCUGAAAAAUUUCUCGGACAAUGACAAUUGUAAGUUAUGUUGUUCUAGAUGUAGUAAUUUAUAGAAAUCUUUUAUUCAUUGAGACACCUUUUCUUUGAGUAUUAUAAAUUUAAGAUGCUAUUAUGCUAAAUUAACUAUGUUUCCAUUAUUCAAGCCUUUCUUGUGAUUUUGUUGUCUUUUGAGAGAUUUAUAUCUCUUAAGUAUAGACUGAAAUGAAUAUCUUUAUUAUUGUUAUGUUUUCAUUUUCAAUAAAAAUAAGAAUUUCAGCUUGUUUGCAAAUUAUAUCUACGAAAUAAAAUUUUAAUAUUCUAGAUGCAAAAUUACAAUGUAAUUGAAUUAAGUUCAUUAUUUUGCUUAUUUUAGUUUGGGUUCAAUGUUAUAUAUAAUUAUUGUUGUUGCAAACAAUGAUACCAAACAUAUUCUUCUGGCUACUCCAUUCAGAAUUACAAUAAUAUUGUUUUCCUCAUCAACUAAAAUCCUGGGUGUCAACUACAAUACGAUCAGUUUAAAACUUUAUUGUAUAUAUGCUCAUUGUAUCUACUUUCACAGAGACACCAAUAUAAUAUAUUUCAUUGCAUCAAACAUGCUAACCUUGAAUUGCUAAUAAAGAGAGCAUCGUGACCAUUUAGACCUAGCGAAAAAAGGAUAUAUUAGUCAACUCGAUCCAUUAUCUUCUACUACUUAUAUAUAUCAAGCACGCUUGUCAAGAUGAAUAAUCUGGACACUCUUUCUCUUCUACAAAAAAAAUGAUCAACUACACUUUACAGACACUCUCCAUGAAUUACAAAACCCCAAUUUCUAAUAUUAAGAACACAAGUUCUCUGGCUUUGAUAAUGUAUAUAGAGAUUUAGUAAAGAAUUUUGACCCUUUUUAAGAUUAAUAGACCGAUGAAAUACAUCUUAUAAUAAUGUGCUAGAAUUAAUAUUAGCAUAUAUUCAUCAUCUUUUAUGAUAAUUGUUGAAUUUAUAUUUUGCAUAUUCAAGUGAAUGCUAAUAAACUUUAAGACGAGAAUCAAAUUCUACAAUUCUUUUAAAGUGCCGAACCUUGGCCAAGCUCCAACAUUCUUGAUUGUUUAUAAUAACCAAGUUCAUUAUUUUAUUACUAAAUAAUAUCAAUCUAUGUUAAUAAGAUAAAUAAUAUUUAAUUUCUAUAUUUUAUAUAAUUAUUAAUGUUUACUUUGAAUACAUUGUGCUAAUUUGAAAAAACAAAAAUUACAAAUGAGAUGAUACAAAAAUGAUAUUCCUUAUUUUUAAUUCUUUGAAAUAUUUUAACUACAUUGAAAAUAGAAUCAAGAAGUUACAAUUAUAUUUGAUUAGACCCUUUGAUUAUUCGGAAAUAAAGUUUUUAUUCUCUAAGGGGUCAUUUGGCAAAUCUGAAUGAUUUUCAUCUGAAUUAUUAAUAUAUCUGAAUUAUAUGAAUCAAUCAAAAAUCUAAAUCCAAACCAAUAAUAUCAUUUGAUAUUUUUUUCAUGAUAUCUGAAUGACAUUUUUUUUAUUUUGUACGAUAUAUUAGAUUAUGUGACAAUUUUGAUGUGCACUGUGCAUGAUGUCAUUAUGAUAUUUUAUAAUAAAUAAAAACAUAAAGAAUUAAUUUUUCAAAUUCUUUCAUUUAGUUAGUCAUUUAAUAAAAUUAUUUGAAUAAUUAUAUAAGUUCGAAAAAGCCGAAUUAUUGAAAAAUAUAUAAUGAUUAUAUGUACGUAUUAAUGAUAAAUUUAUCACAAAUUUUUUUAAGAUGGGUGUGAUUCUUGAAGUGAGUGGGCAUCUGCAGCCUGCAAGUGUACCGUGUAUGAAUGAGUCAUGGUGUACCGUGUAUGAAUGAGUCAUGCAGGAUUUUGUAAAUGACCGGUUAAGCAAUUGUGAGAUUGGAUCAGUCAAUUUUGAAGAAAGCCCAAACAAUCUGAAUAAGAAGAAUCGGUCAGUUGAAUAUCAUUAAGCUCCAUUCAGAACUAAACAAAUGAGCCCUAAAUGCAAGAUUGCAAUGGAAUUAAAUUAAGUUUUUUUUACUUACUUUAGUUUGGGAUUCAAUACUUUGUGAUUUAAUUUGUGGUUACAGAGAGUGGUUGCUAGCCUAAUGCCACACGUAGUGACAAAAAUGACACGGUUCAAGUUGAGUAGGUAAGUAUGUCAUCAAAAUGAGUUGGAGAGUUGGGGAAGAAGCUUAACAGUUAGUAAAUAGUUUUAAUCGCCAAUAGUUUGGUUACAUUCGAAGCGCUGUCCAUCAACAUUUGUUUAUAAAUCUUUGUAGACUUAUAGUUUCUCUAAGAUCAGACCAUAUAUGUAUAAGAUAUCAUACGAAAAGAAGGGGAGUAUCUUCAUAUUCUGAAUGGAGCUUGAAGUCAGAAGAUGCAGCUUUCACUUUUACUUUUUGCAACUUUGAAUGAAACUUGUAUAAUGUAGUGAGCUGAGCAGUGUUCCUUUUUACCUUAAAGCUCGAUUUAGAAACUUCAGGUUCUAGCUGUAAUUAUUAUUGAUUUCGGCUUCUUAUUUAUAGUAUUCUUGCACCAGGGAAAAAUAAGUUCUCUGGAAGCCUGCCCAGGAACCUCACUAAGCCUAUAGUAUUCUUAUUUAUAGCUGUAAUGAUUUAAUAGUGUAUUGGAAGAAUGCUAUGCAAGGUCUCUCAAGUCAUAAUCGACAUAUUUAUACUUUCCUAGACUUGUCGAACGAUAAGUUUUCAGGUGAUGUCCCAGAUUCAUUCCGAAAUCUCAAUGGACUGAAGCUACUCAUGAACUCUCAGGAUAUAUACCCCAAAGUUUUGGAGAUCUAGAAAGUAUAGAGAUAUUGGACCUUUCUAACAAGAAUAUCUCUGGUACAAUUCCACAAUCAUUUCAGAAGCUAAAUUAAUUAUCAGUACUAGAUGUGAGUAGCAACAAGCUAAGUGGUAAAAUCCAAUCCCGCCAGGGCGACCUUUCUAAAAACUCGACCAGAAUACAGCAUCUAUCAGUCUUGAAUCUACUCACUAUUAAGUGAAAAUUAGGAUUAGGAGUACGCGUAACGCGAUUGUUAUGCGAAAGUAGCUUAAAUUUGAAGCUUGCUACAUGAAAAACAUUUCAUACUAUAAUUUUUAUUAAAAACACAGGAUUGGAUAUAUAAUACUUGUAUAUUAGUACCACCUGGAAUAGUGUUUAAAUUGUCAAUCUAAUUAGGAGUAUAUAUGUAUAAUAUUUCUAGAACAUGACUGAUACAUUAUUUGAACAAAGAAUUUUCAAUCCUGAUCCCAAAGAAUCUACAAGUCUACCAAGAUUUAUAAACAACUGUCGAUGAAGGGGAGCGCUAAAAAUGUAAACCCGAGGAAAACUAUCUACUACAGUAACUAUUAAGCUUCUUCACUUUUCUUCAACUCACUUUGCUGACAUACUUAGCUAAUCAACUUGAACCAUGUCAAAAAAAAAACUUGAACUUGAACCAUGCCAUUUUUUCCACACCUAAUCAAAAUUACACUUUACGGUUUAUCACAUGAAAUUACAUGAAAAUUCUAUAAAUAACUAAUCGAUGACUAUCCUGUCAAAAAACUGCUCUUUCUAGUUAGGUGGCAGAUUUUAUUGGUGGAGAUUUUUGUACAAACAGGAUCAUCAUUAUUAAUGAGAUUGGAGCCCAUAAAAAUCUGUCACCUAGUUAAAUAGCUAUUUUAUUGUGUGCCCAUGGUCACACCCCAGAAAAAUCGGGAAAAAAAUCUAAUCGAUGACCAUAAGAGAAGGAAAAGAAAAGUCAUCGGAAUAAUAGCAACUUGUGUUACGGAAGGACACACAAUCAGACAAUGUCUUAUUCAACUUUUCUCUGGUUCAUGUAGAUUAGUCUUGAAAUCAAUAAAUGAUCAAUAAUACUUCAAUGUCCUACUUGAAAAUUGUCUUGCAACCACUUAAUGGCCAUUAAUCUGUUCAUAUAAACAUUUUAAUAUUGGUCCCAGACUUGGAGCCGGUAACAUUUCAAACGGUAUUAAUUCAGAAGGCUCCACAGUAGACAUGUACUUUACUCUAUUAAGCAACUCUGCUUCACAAAAACUAGCAAAAGAAACACAACCAUGGAGAGUAAGGGAAGCCUGAGCAAAGUAGUCUUGUCUUUUAUUUUCAGGCUCAUGCUAUGCUCACCUUGUCCAACCCAUCAAAAACAGUCCCUUCUCCGCUUCAAGUCCUCCUUUGUCGAUGCCUACAACACCUCAGACCCAUCACUUUUGGACUUGGGGUCUUGGGACUCCACUUCUGAUAGCUGUGCAUGGAAUAGAGUUGUUUGCGGUUCCUAUUCACGUAGCAUAGUAGCUCUAAACCUUAGCAAUAUUUAUACUCCACUACAACACUAUAAUAUCAAUCCAAAUAUCUUAGACCCCAUUUAUAGCAUCACAUCUUUAUCGCUUCUUAAUAUCUCUUAUAACUUUAUAGUAGGGGAAAUUUCGGGCAAAGGAUUGGCUAAUCUCACGAAACUAGUUCACCUUGACAUGAGUUUGAAUGAUUUUAAUGGCACAAUUCCAGCACAAGUUUUCCAGUUAAAGAAUCUGCAAUUUCUUGAUUUAUCUUAUAAUUCACUGAAGGGUGGUUUAAGUAGUGUAGUUGGCAAGCUUGGAAAUUUGAGGACUCGAAAGUUGGAAGAGAAUGUGCUUGAUGGAUAUGUUCCUGUGCAGAUUGGAAAUCUGACAAAGUCGCAACACUUUUCUAUCAAUCACAACAAAUUAUUGGGGCGUAUUCCAGAUUCAAUAGGGUAUUUGAAGGGAUUGGAAAGAUUAUACAUGAGCGAAAACAGUUUCAGUGGUUUAAUACCUCCAUCAAUAAGUAACUUGAUCAGGUUGGAAACACUUCUCUUGGAAAAUAAUAGGCUUUCUGGAGAAAUCCCUUCAAGUUUAUUUGACAUAGAGAGUCUCAAGAUCUUAAAUCUUGGAGGAAACACAUUAACUUGGAAUAACAAUGUCAAAAUAGUUCCCAAGUGUAUGCUUUCUCAACUCUCUCUCAAAUCAUGCAAAUUUAAUAUAAUAUUUACAUACUUUUAAAACUAUUUAAUAUAAAAUAUGUGUAAAUUGCUAGAUGAUAUGUAAAUAUGAUAUGUAUUAUUGUACUCAUAAAUGUAUUAUCUAACAAUUUACACAUUUUAUUUAAAAUAAUUUUUUAAAUAUGUAAAUAUUUUAUUUUUAAGCAUCACUUUAUGAGUUAAACAAAUUUUAUUUUUCUUUCAUAUUCCCAUUAAAUAGAGCAAUUAAAAUAUUAUAUUAAAAUUAAAUAUAUAAUAAAUAAUUAAAAUUUUAAAAUCUGAGGCUCAAGACAUCAUGUAAACACCCUCCCCUGUAUCUAUGUUUAUAUAUGUCGAUUUUUCAUGUAAUGUGUUGUUGCCACAAUACUAUCCAACUUCAUUCGCAUCCAUCAAAUAUGUCAAAUACUAAUAUUGUAGUGGGUAACGCAGAGGACUUUCUCAAUCCAAGCGUCGUGGACGAUCUCGUGGGUUAAGAAAUAUACCCAACAGAGGCAAUUUGUCCCGACAUUGAUGUCACUCAAUGUUCCACCCGAAGUGGAGUUAAUAAACUCGUUAAUUGGCUUCUUCAUGUUGAACAAUGUUUGUGUCAAUGUUCUUCAAGGAUUUGGCAGGUUUGCACAAGUGGAUCUUAUCUAUUUGUAUUUGGAAGGUCCGAAUAGACUUUUAAGAUUGAUUUUUAUUUCAAGGGCUUGUUUUUCCCUAUCUCAUUACCUAGCAUUUUCAACGCCAUGGUGUGCAAAUGGAACGGCGACAUAUAUUAUGGAACUGUGCGGACAAUGACAAUUGUAAGUUAUGUGGUUCUAGAUGUAGUAAUUUAUAGAAAUUCUUUAUUCAUUGAGACACCUUUUCUUUGAGUAUUAUAAAUUCAAGAUGCUAAAUUAACUAUGUUUCCAUUUAUUCAAGCCUUCUUUGUGAUUUUGUUGUCUUUUGAGAGAUUUAUAUCUCUUAAGUAUAGACUGAAAUGAAUAUCUUUAUUAUUGUUAUGUUUUCAUUUUCAAUAAAAAUAAGAAUUUCAGCUAGUUUGCAAAUUAUAUCUACGAAAUAAAAUUUUAAUAUUCUAGAUGCAAAAUUACAAUGUAACUGAAUUAAGUUCAUUUUUUUGCUUAUUUUUGUUUGGGUUCAAUGUUGUAUAAUUAUUUUUGUUGCAAACAAUGAUACCAAACAUAUUCUUUUGGCUACUCCAUUGAGAAUUACAAUAAUAUUGUUUUCCUCAUCAACUAAAAUACUGGGCGUCAACUGCAAUACGAUCAGUUUAAAACUUUACUGUAUAUAUGCUCAUUGUAUCUGCUUUCACAGAGACACCAAUAAAAUAUAUUUCAUUGCAUCAAACAUGCUAGCCUUGAAUUGCUAAUAAAGAGAGCAUCAUGACCAUUUAGACCUAGCGAAAAAAGGAUAUAUUAGCCAACUCGAUCAAUUAUCUUCUACUACUUAUAUAUAUCAAGCAGGCUUGUCAAGAUAAUAAUCUGGACACCCUUUCUCUUCUAUAAAAAAAAUGAUCAACUACACUUUACAGACACUCUCCAUGAAUUACAAAACCCCAGUUUCUAAUAUUAAUAACACAAGUUCUCUGGCUUUGAUAAUGUAUAUAGAGAUUUAGUAAAGAAUUUUGACCCUUUUUAAGAUUAAUAGACCAAUGACACAUCUUAUAAUAAUGUGCUAGAAUUAAUAUUAUCAUAUAUUCAUCAUCUUUUAUGAUAAUUGUUGAAUUUAUAUUUUGAGUAAUCAAAUGAAUGCUAAAUAAACUUUAAGACAAGAAUCAAAUUCUACAAUUCUUUUAAAGUGUCGAACCUUAGCCAAGCUCCAACAUUCUUGAUUGUUUAUAAUAACCAAGUUCAUUAUUUUCUUACUAAAUAAUAUCAAUCUAUUUUAAUAAGAGACAUAAUAUUUAAUUUCUAUAUUUUACAUAAUUAUUAAUGUUUUCUUUGAAUACAUUGUUCUAAUUUGAAAUAACAAAAAUCACAAAUGAGAUGAUACAAAAAUAAUAUUCCUUGUUUUUAAUUCUUUGAAAUAUUUUAACUCCAUUGAAAAUAAAAUCAAGAAAUUACUAUUAUAUUUGAAUAGACCCUUUGAUUAUUCGGAAAUAGAGUUUUUAUUCUCUAAAUGCGAGAUUGCAAUAGAAAUUAAAUUAAGUUUUUUUUUUACUUAUUUUAGUUUGGGAUUCAAUACUUUGUGAUUUUGUGGUUACAGAGAAUGGUUGCUAGCCUAAUGACACACGUAGUGACAAACAAGAUAUAUCUUUUUUUACAUUAAAUAUUGUUUAUAUUUGUUAAUAAUUAUUUAAUUUGACCUUUGACAAACUAGAUAUAUCUUUUGUUUACAUAUAAUAUUGUAUAUAUUUGAUAAUAAUUAUAUGACUUGACCAUUUAUCAAACCUAGAUAUUUUAGGUUUUAAAAAAAAAUCCUAUAAGUGGCUUAACUAAAAGUCUGAUAGCCAGUUCUAGACUUCUAGUAUCCAGAUUCAUUCUACUUGAAUUUUAAUAACCUAAAGCAUGCAUGCAGAUGGUAUAACAUAUAUAUUAAAUUUUAUUUAUGAGAUGACGGAAAAACAAACAAACAAACCACAUAUUCCCAUUUUUGUUUACUCGAAACCAAUUGGGUACCAAAUAAUAACUCUGCUUAUGCAUGUACUAAUAGGACUGACAUGAAGUUGAUUUUCAUUAGGACAGAAACAAAUCAUGAUGCAAUUAGUAUAAACACACAAUGAUUUAACUCUGAAUUAACAAACUAAGGAAAACAAACAAGAUAAAAGAAGGAGCAAAAACAUGUUACAAUAGUAGCAUGUUACGAUAGUAUUGUACUUACGUAAUAGCAGAGGAACAGUGUCACAAGCUUCCAAGUCACAACCUUACGAUAGCUUUCUUUCCAUGCAAUAACAAAUACAAUGUGUACUUUUAUAUUAACACUAUGGUUAUGGUGCUGAUAGCAUGUUAGAACAAAUAUACUAUACUAGUUCAGAUAGCAUAUAAGAGUAGUGAAGUUGUAAUAUUUUUCUCUUGUGUGUUAUACAAGCUCAAUCUUCAUCCCUAUUUAUGUGUAUACAAGAUGUAGGUUACAUAAACUUGACGAGCCAAAAGUCAUGGACUUGUAACUUGUAAGGACAUGGACUUAAGUUACAUGUAGUUGAAAGAUCAAAGGGUAGAGCUUUGAACAUUCUAGAGUCAUCCCCUUGUAUACAUGAUAAUAAGUAGAUUAUAACCAGCCCCCCUCCCCCUUCUCACAACAGUAUGAUUUCACAUAUGGCUUAUGUCUACAUAGUACCUUAAUACCAAUACUGAUUUUCAACUAACUGAGCUCCUUCCUUGUCAAGUCAAGUCCAUGUUUUCACUACUAUAUUUAUAAGCAGCUUAGUACAUACGACAUGACAAUUAAAUUUAAGAUAGUCUGUAUAAGCAGUUGGAGAUAAUUUAGCCUAAUAGUGGGGUUUUUUGGGGGGAGGGGGGGGGGGGGCAAAAUACAAUUAAAUAUAAUUCCCUCUACGUUGUACAAUAAAACAUGUUCUAAAGCAAAUAUUAAAGCAAAUAAACCACUCAGUUAUAAAGAGGAGAUUAAAAUAAUUUUAUUUGUAUAAAUAUUUGUGUGAUUCAAAUGUGCAGACACUAAAUUCUUUAGAAAGUUUUUUAUGGGGUUUGAGCAUGAACUAAUUUGGGAAAAAACAUACACUGGCCGCCAAUAUUUUAUAAACAACAAUAUGAUGACAAGGAGUAUAUGAAAUACAAUUACUCUAAUUUAUUCCAGAACAAAGACAAACACAUUUGGGAUUUAUCUAUACACAUUACUUGUGUUCUUGAUGAUUCUUGAACAUGCACUAUAUUUAGGACAAAGGGUACACAAGUUAUCAGUUUUAUUAAUAAAUUCAGAACAUAUUACUCAGUUAUGGGACAACAGUUGCUAAAUAUAAUAAUUGUAUGUAUAGAUAGUAUAUGAAAUCUGUUACCUUAAGCCUGAAGGCCGAGUGAUGGCAGCACAGUUAUCAUCCAACAGAUUAGUACAUAGGCUUGACAUCCCUGUGAAUAAAAAGUGUUAUUAGCUUUAGUAAUGUGCAGAUAAGGCAUCCAUCUUACUGCACCAAUAAAAAUAUGAAGUGAUAUUAAAUUUUGUACAAGAUGCCCCCUUGCAAUUCCAACACAAUAUACAGUGAUCAAAUAAGCCAGGACCAUUUCAUUAUCCCCUUCGCGCAGUAAACCAAUUAGUGACACGAAAUGUCUGUGCCUAGAAAUCAUUAGGAUAAAAAAAUUAAAGGAUCAACAAAGAAACUAAGAAUCAUUAGCUUCAAACUAAAAACCACCCAGGUUCAGUCAUUCCAUCACAGCAUUACAAACAACUCUCUAUUCAAUACCAAUCAUUGGGUAACACUCAAUUUUACCAAAUAAUUUCCAGAAACAAUACAUUACCUACCAACCUAAUCAAACAAUCACAUUAAUAUAUAUCUAAAGAAUAUAACCACUUACAAUACUACCAAAAAAAAUGAAAAUGAAGAGCACGACAAUACAGUAUUACAUGGGUUCUGUAUGUUGAUUCGAUCAUAUUAAAUAUGUAAAGCAUAAGAAGCAGAUACAUAAAGAUUUUGCGAUUGGAGCAACCCAAGCCAAUUACCUGCAAUAUCAGAAAGGCGGGGGUUUAUGUGUAGAUAUACAAGGUAACCGGCGGUUUUUGUGAUAAAAUUUGAAAUAGGCGCCCAUGCAUAUCUGGAGGGUAGACAAAAAGGGUAAAAACAAGGACAGAAGUGUCAUUAUAUACUGAAUGAAUUUGCUCAACCUAACACUCUUUUUCUCGUAUAAUAGAAUUAAGAUUAUAGAUUUAGAUUGUAAACAAGUCAAAUAAAUUUGGGGUAUUAAUUGUUAAAUUGAGCCCACAAGUUAUAAACGGCUCAUGGCAUAAUUGACAGGUUUGCUUGCUUUAUUUACGAAUAUACAAGCUCAAGUAACUCAAAAAUCCAAAAACAAUUGUGGCAACUUCAGUAAUGAUCCCAAAAAUUUGCUGGUGUAUAAACUUAAGCUCAUUAAGACAACAAAGAGAAUGAAACUGAAACUGCAAAGUUACAAUGUAAAUAUUGCAGUAAAAAUGAAACAACAAUGUGAAAAAAUUAUAAAGGCCGAGCCACAAAACCUCUAAUAACCAUUUUCUCUACCAAUUCUUCAUGUUUCUUUAUCUGUCCUGCUUUUCUCAGCUGCUGCAAAACCAUUUCAUACACUGCCUCACUAGGCUUCAAGCAUUUUUCUUCCAUCAUUUCUCUGAAAAACUUGUAAGCAUUAUUCCAGUGUCCCAUCCCACAAUAUAGGGAUAUCAGAAUCCUGUAAGUAUUCACAUGAGGCUCAAUCUCACCCUCGUCCAUCUCUUCUUUAAGCUUGAUAACCAUGUCAGCAGACUUAGAAUCAGCAAACAUCCUCAUCAGUAUAUUGUAUGUCACUGUAUUAGGCUUACACUUUAUCUCUUUCAUCCUCGCAAACAACCUGUGAGCAGAAUUAACAUCCCCUGCUUUCAAAAUACACCUAAAUAUCGGGUUAAAUGUAGAAGCAUUUGCCUCACACCCUUUUCUGACCAUUGUAUUGAUAACCUUAACAGCCUCAUCCCGAUUCUCAUCCCUACAAUGACUCUCUAUAAGAUAAUUAUAAGUAAUAGUAUCGGCAGCACAAGAUAGCUUCCUCAUCUGAUUAUACACCUGCAAAACCUUCUCUGUCCGUCCAGCCUUGACAUGCACCCGCAUCAAAUUAUUAAAUGUAAUAGAAUUCGGCUGACAUCCCACAUCAAUCAUCUCCGCAAACACAUCAUGAGCUCGCGUAAUCUGCCCACACCGACACAACGCAUCAAUAACAAUACUAUAAGUAUAAACAUUCGGCUGAAUCCCAACCUCCUUCAUCUCACUAAACACCCUUUCCGCCUCUGAAAUAUUCUCCGCCCUGCACCACCCAUUAACCAAACUAGUAUACACCACAACAUCCGCCUCAAACUUCCCCUUCAACCCAUCAAAAAACUCCUGAGUCUCAACCGCCCUCCUCUUCUUACAAAGAACCGAAACAACAUUAGUAAACGCAAUCUUAUCCGCCACACACCCAUACUCCCCCAUUCUAUUAAACGCAAGAAUCGCCUCACUAGCCAACCCCGCCCUCACAUACCGCCUAAUCAAAACCGAAAACGUCGAAUUCGACACCUCAAUUCCAUUCUCCUUCAUAUCAUCAAUCAAACCCCACGCCACAUCAAAUGCGCGCACCUUUCCACAAAGGUCAAUCAUAUCAUUAUAAGCAUCACUACACUAAUUUAUCAGCCCAAUUAAAGAACGCGAGAGUCUGGCUAAAGGGGAUACCGUGGCGGGGGGACCCGCAUUUGUGGAUGACAUGGCGAAUGACGUUGGGAGAGAGAGAGAUGGGAGAGAUUUGGGNCAAAGAACGCGAGAGUCUGGGCAAAGGGGAUACCGUGGCGGGGGGACCCGCAUUUGUGGAUGACAUGGCGAAUGACGUUGGGAGAGAGAGAGAUGGGAGAGAUUUGGGAGAGAUCGAAGGAGAGAGUGGGGAGAGAGAGAUUGGAGGUGGGGUUGGGGUUGUUUCGGUGGUGGGUUUUAAUUAGGGAGUGGAGUCGGUCAAAUUAGGGUUUCGGAUGGGGUGAGAUGGAGGAUGGGUUUGAUUAAUUCGGGUUCUUCGAGAGUUUGUAGGGCUGAAGAGGUGAGUGUUGAGAGAGGAGAGAUGAGGUGGGAGGGGAGACGGAGGCAUUGCUUUGACUUGAUUAUCAUGGCCGCCAUGGAUGAAGAGGUGACUUGAUGAGGUGGGAGG